RNAcentral lists this long non-coding RNA (88848 nucleotides) under Lactuca sativa (garden lettuce). Its description in RNAcentral is "long non-coding RNA (LSAT_LNC004445)". Lineage: Eukaryota; Viridiplantae; Streptophyta; Magnoliopsida; Asterales; Asteraceae. The record is from RNAcentral.
AGGAUCUUGGCCAAUUAGAAUGUUUACAGAAGCUACAUUUGACAGAUGUAAAGAUUAUUAAACAUCUUCCGGAUAGUAUUUGCAUGUUGAAACACCUGAAAUAUCUCGAACUUUAUGAUUGUUUGCUGCUUGAGAGGUUACCAGAGGAUCUUGGCCAAUUAGAAUGUUUAGAGAAGCUACAUUUGACAGAUGCAAAGAUUAUUAAACAUCUUCCAGAGAGCAUUUGCAUGUUGAAACGCUUGAAAAAUCUUCAACUUUAUGGUUCAUUGCUUGAGAAGUUACCAGAGGAUCUUGGCCAAUUAGAAUGUUUAGAGGAGCUAGAUUUACACGGAUGUGCACGUUUACAAGAUAUCCCAAAUAGCAUCUGUGAGAUGAAAUGUCUAAAACAUUUCUUUCUCUACAAUUGUAUUCGAGUUGAAAAAUUGCCUGAUGAACUUGGACGUUUGGGAUGUUUAGAAGCGUUAUAUAUACAUGGUACAAGCAUAAGUGAUCUUCCGCAGAGCAUUUUUUUGUUGAAAGAUCUGCGUAUUCAAGGGUCGAGACAGCUUCUUCAGUCGUGUGGGUUUACACCCGAGAUAGAAGCCCACAGAUAUAUAGAUGAAACGAUGUGUUACGCACGGGUACCCAUAAUGCAGGAACCCACAGUCAAGUGAAAUAGAACUAUUGGAAAAGGUACUUUCUGUGUUUUUUUAUUGAUCAUGUUACAUGAUUUCAAAUUUGAAAUUUUUAUGAUGAUAAUUAUGUUUUCAGCCACAAUCAACAAUAAUAACUAAAAAGAUACAAGUACUUUACUUAGAGACAACUUUUGUGUUACAUGUAAAUCUUUUGAUAUCUUUAUAUAUGUGGAGAAUCUAGUUUAUUGUUGUUUAUACAUGUGAAAAAAGUGAUUUGAUCAUAUAACUGAUUUUAUCAGGCAUCUGCAUCUGUUCUGUUCUUUAUCAAGCAUCGUGAUAUCUGGGGUGAAUGUUUUGUUAAUUGAGAUUAAUCUGGUAUCUAUGUAGGGAAUCUACUUAUUAUCUCAAGUUCUCAACCCAUGUUACUUUGUUAUCAGCAACCUCUAGUACUUAUAAUUUGGUCUCUAGAUAGGUCCUCCUCUUGAGGUAUAACUAAACUUUAUCUCAUCAUUCCCAUGGAUUUCUGUAAUUAAUACUUGGAUGUCAUUAUUGUUUCAGGAUCUUGAUCUUCUACAAUUUGUAUAUAUGGAGUUGAGUGCCUCAUUACCGAAGUUCUGUGUGUUUUUUUUUAUUAUUUUUUUUUUUUUUAUUUUUUUAUUUAUUUUUUUUAUUUUAUUUUAGUCAGUGAUAAUUUGAAAAGACUGUUAUAACCUGGUUCAUCGUAGUCUCAUUCUCUUCUCAUGAUCUUCUCUCGUAAAAAAAUAAAUUAAUUAGUUUUGGAGUAAAGAAAUGCUGAGAAAUGGAUGAAACAUGCACUCUGGUACAUUGCUAUAUCUAUGAUUUGUCCGAUAUUUAUGUAUGUAUUUAUAUUUCUAUAAAUGUAUGUAUGUAUGUUUCUGCAUUAUUUUCCACAUUAUACUACAAUUUGGCAAUGGUUGAUCUUUUGUCAUCCACAAUAUAAUAUAUAUAUUCACCUUAAGAUGUGCAUGGAUACCUCGAGACCUUCCCAUUAUCAAGAGUUAUUUUAACUGCAAAAAAUUGAUAAUGAAUUCGUUCCAUUCAUCAUUUCAUGGACAACCCUAAAAGCCUGCACAUAAGUUGUCUUUGCAAAAAAGUCCUUGUAGGUCUUGUUUGUAACUUUGUUUUUGAGUUAGAGCUUAAUGCUUUGUAUUUGGAAAUAUAAUUUUAGCUUAUUGCUCUGAUUUUUCAUGCAUCAACACAAAGCAUAUCCUGAAUAUUAACAAUAAGAUUGUGGUUUUGAAAGUUAAGAAUCAUCUCCUAUCUGUUGUGUGUUGAUUGCAGCCUUUAAUGUAUUGUGAAAACAAUUUUGAUAGGUUUCAGGUUAAAAGUUGUGGUACAACUGUAUAGAGUUGUAAGUAGGUUGUUAUUAUGGGCAAAGGUUAUAUCACAUCGUUGAGAUUAUUAAUUCUCGUAAUCUGCCGAAAUUAUAAAGAAAAAGAAACACCUUUUGUCCCAGAGAAAAAAACUGUAAUCUGUUUAACAAUUAUUUAAAAAAAAAAAAACAAAAAAAAACAACUUACUCUUUGGAAAAACUGUAUGCUGCUUGUUAAUACUUGGUAAAAUCUGUAGGUUGAUUAGGAAUCUAAUAUUGUGUCGUGUGCUUAUUUAUAUGGUAUCUGCUUGAUGUGAUGAUAAAUUGUUGGGAAAUUGGGCUGACAAUAGGGCUUCUGAUAAUCAAUUCUUGGAUAUUGACUUUGGAUUGUGUACUUCACUUUUCUUGAGCAAUAUUUUGACCCUCUAUCACCCGGCUAUCAACAAAGCCAAGUUGCUCAAGGAAUUUCGUCGCCCCUCUUUUGGAAAUUGGGCCUAUCCUCGGCCCAUAGUCACCUCUCUUUUGGAAAUUGGGCCUAUCCUCGGCCCAUAGUCACAUGACAAUCCGAUUUUCCCCCAUGUUAUCAUUAGAUAAAUGAAUUUCACCUUUUAGAUUUGGAUUUUCCAUGUGUAAACUAAUUCUAUAAUAAUAGAUUUACCUUUCUUAAAUCUUAAUUUUUAUGUUUCUAAUCUUCACUACUCUAAUAAAUAAAAAAAAAAUUAUACCACAUGUCACACUUUUAUUCAUUUUGCUACAUGUCAUUCUGUAAUUAUUUUAAAUUAAAUUUUUCUACAUGUCAUUUUAUUGUUUUUUGUAUUUUAUUAAAUUUCACACUAUGUGCGAGACCCGUGUACUACACGGGUUUAUUAAAAAUAAAAUGUUUAAUAUCAAUAUGUAAACAUUAAACAUUUUAUAAAGUAAUUGAAAAAAGAAAGCAAAUCAAUAAGUUUGUAAUAUUUAUAUGAAUUUAUUCUCAAAUUAAUAAAAUGAUAACCUUAUAUGAAUAGAAUGAGAAAAUUUCAUAUAUAUAACCAUAAAUUCGGGAAAUUUAAUGUAAGAAUGAAAAAGCUCAAAAAAAAUGACAAUUGAUAAAUAAGAAAAUGAAAAGAAAAAAAAAACCAAAAAAAAAAAAAUCAUGUGCCAAAAUGAAAGAGAAGAAGACAUUGACAAUAAACAUUCAUUUAUUAGAGAUGAUAGUAUUUAAAUAGAAUAAUUGUAAUAAAUGUAAUAAUAAAUGGAUAUUAAUUUCAUUAAUACAACUUUUCCUUUUAAUUUUAAAAUUCCUAAAUUGAAGCCAAAUUAUUUCAUUUGUUUAUUUAUUUAAAUUAAAAAGAGAAUGAGCAUUUUAAUUUCAAUAAUCCAAUAUUUUUCUCAUUUUCAUUAAAAAUUCAAACUUCCUAAAUGUUUAGACCUUCAUAUUUAACUUUAAGUCUGAUGCAAUAAGAGCCCUUGAAUUUUCAAGAAAUCUUUGGCUUUACCCUUAGAUGACUUUUAGCUUCACUAAAGCCGAAGUUUGGGUAAAAAUUUACAUUUCUGCCCUUCUAUCAAGUUUUCGGGUCACAUUUCGGUCACCUGGGCAGGAGCAAAAUACGAUUAUUUUUCGUUGACUUGGGCAUUGACAUGGAGUGCCAAGUCACAUAUUCAUUCCUUUAUUAGAAACACAAUAGUGCAUCGGAUGAAACAAGGCCUACGAGAAUCGAAGUAGUGGCCUCACAAAGAGAACAUCAGCGCCUUCACUACCCAGCAACAAGGGAUUUAUCUUUUAACUUCUGUUGUAUUAAACUUAACAAUUCACGAAAGGAAUUUUUUUCUUCUUUUUCUUUUUCUUUUUCUUCUUCUUAUUAUUAUUAUUAUUAGCAUAACUCCAAUUAUGAAAGUAUAAAUAUAUUUUUUAAACGUAUUUAUAUAUUUAAAAACCUGAUUUUCCUUUUUAGAAACAUAAUAUAUCUUUAAAAAAUAGUUUUUAAUUUAAAUAAGUAUUUAUAUCUUUCAAAUCGUAUUUAUAUCAUUAAAAUUAUAUAAUAUAUAAAUAAGUUUGUCAUGAUAUACAAACAUGCGUACACAUAUUUAUUUAUAUAUAUAUANNNNNNNNNNNNNNNNNNNNNNNNNNNNNAAAUGUAUUUACAUGUAUUUGUACAAAUUAAAAACAUAUUUAUAUAUUUAUAUAUAUUUAAAACGUAUUUAUAUGUGUUUAUACACUUAAAAAACAUAUUUAUAUGUUUUUUAAGUGUAUAAAAAACAUAUUCAUAUCAUCAAUCUUCAAGAAAUUAGCUUAAUCAUAUAAACUAAUACAAAUCUUGAAAUUAUGACAAUUAUCUUUUAAUUAGACGAGCAUGAUCAUUACCUUAUCAAAAAAACAGAUUGCAUGGUUCAAAAAACAAUUUAGGGUAAUGAUCCUAAUCCAAUUUCUGGCCAAAACUCGAAAUUCUGCACACUGGAGCACCAACUCAGUGAGUACAUGAACUGGACUCGUUGAGUCACCCAGUGGACUCGGCGAGUUCACCAGUCAAAUGAAGAAAUUUGAUUUUUUCAACUUUGAAAACCAAUAAACAUCAAGUAUAAUAGAAAACAAUCAUAGACUCUGAUACCACUAAUGGGUUUUAAGCACUCUAAUAACCUUAAGGUGCACAUACAAACCUAAAUGUUUUGGAUCUAUGUGUUCUCUAAUUAUACAUGCAAUUUGAUUUUCCAAAGCAGUAUCCUAACUAGCAUACAAAACAUGGGUACUUGUAUAACAAAAACUAGUUAGAUAACAUACUUUUUCUUGUAGCUUGUUAGCUUGGACCUUUAAGAAACUAGCACCCCAAAUGUGAUGCCUUGAAUGCUUCACAAAACACCACCAAUAAUGGAGGACUUUGAGAGAGUAUAACUUGCACACAAAAAUCGGUUAUGGCUCUUCCAAAGAUCACUAGUGCCGAUUUUAGGAGCUAAGGGACUUCUUAUAUAGCGUGUCAAGGUCUAGGGUUACAUACCAAAUAUAGUUAUGGACUUAGACACCUUAUCCAACAAAUUGUAUGACUAUAUAGUCAAUAUAAUUCGUUCCUUUUUCCUGAAUAAGGAAAAGUGAUAUCUUUAGGCCCCUUGGUGAUUUGAGUUGAUCUAUGAAAACCAGGGGAUUGGUCCGGAAUAAAUUGACGUGUUUAAUUUUAUAGUCUAAAUUGAUCACAAAUUCGGAAAUCGAAAAACAAAAUAAAUGAACAUGAGUUGGAUCAUUUAAUCCAUGACUUAGCUCAUAUGAUAUCUUGUAGAACGAAGGAAUAAUUGAUUACUUAUCUUAGGGUCAAUGUUUGAUUUGAAUCAGAGUUCGACAGUGGCUUUGGAAAGCACUCUUUGCGGUUUAAUUCAAGGUUUAUACUAGCAAUUGUUGUUACAGACUUAUCCAAGUGGGAGACUAUUUGAUUAAGGAGUCUAAGCCAAUAACUAAAUUGGUAUAUUCUUGUAAUUAGAUGCAAAGUUUGUUUUGGGUUACCCUGAUCACCAGAAAUAACUAGAAAUGAUUUUAGAAGAGAAAAUUAUAACUUAUUAAAUUAUUAUACGAAUAAUUAAUUAAUUGGAAAUUAUGGGAAAAUGAUUCGUUAAUAUAUUAUGUGAUUAAUAUAGUAAUUGAAAAUAAACAGUUGAUCUGUUGAUUUAUUAUGUGAUUAAUAAAUUAGUAUGAAAUCGAUUGUUAAAUAACUGAUUUGUUAAUUUAUAUAAUUAAUUAGUUAAUAUGAAAUCAAUUAUAAUUAAUUAAUUAUUAAUCAGAAUUAAUCUGAAAUUAAUUUUGGAUUAGUUGGAAUUAAUUAAAGGUGCAAGGGGUGAAUUUUAAUUGUUCAAUAGUUGAAUAAAAGAAGCAAUUCUAGAACCCUUCAUGGUAUGGACAGUUUUGGAGGAUUUCCUAGGGUUUCUGAAAGCCUCCUGGUUGUAUAUAAGGAAAAGAUUUAAAUUAAUAUUAAAUAUAUUAUUUAAUUAAUUCAAAUCUUGAUUUGCCUACAAGUUACCUAAACUAUAAAUAGGACCCCUUGAUUUGCAAUUUUCGUUCACCACAUUACCUAAAGGCAAUUGAAUGAAAUUUCCCUCAUAUCUCCUUUCCCUUCCUCAUUCUAGGGUUUUUGGUUUUUGGUGUGAGCCAUAAGAGGCAUCCGCCUUUUGGUGUUUGGUUUCUAAGGAAUGUCAAGAGGAUUUGAUUUGAUUAUUUGCUAUAAUAAUAAAAAGGUAUGUAACCCUACUAUUUAUGUUAAUUUUGAUUUUCAUAACCUCUCUCUAAGGUUUAUUGAUCUUCAUAGUUUAUUGCUAUCAAUAAAGAAAACAUAGAUCCUUUCUAGGUUACAUGUGAGCUUAAGGGUUUAAGUGUUUUUCCGGCACAUGAUAUUUUUAUAACCAAGAAAACCCAUCAAUGGUAUCAAAGCCUUCGUUUUCUAAUUGAUUGGGUGGUAUUUUGGAGGAACUCUCUAUGAUUUGGCUUACAGAUUAAUUGUUAUGGUUUCAUGUACUUCAGAGGACAAGGGAAAGGCGAAGGCUUAAUCGUGCACAUCUUUCGUAUUUUAUGAUAUUUGAUUUUGGGAUACUCUAAUUCACGAUUAUAACUUUUGGAAACUAUGUUUUGUAAACAUUUAUGGUUUUUGGUGUAACAUCCAUAAAAAUAAGGCCAAAUUUAAACUUUUUAAAACAUUUAGAAACCAAAAGUUAUUACCAAUUUGUUUUCAAGACAAUUCUAUAUCAGAGUAUCCCACCAUAGUCAUAAAAGGUGAGGAGUUGUACAAUCACGCCUUUGCCUUCCUACGAUCAUCUAAUGUACCUGAAAUAAUAAAUUGAAACUGUAAGCCCGAGGCUUAGUGAGUUACCCCCCAAAAUACCGAUACACAUACAGUCCACUUAACAAUAUCAGCAAUAUCGUAACAUAACAAACUGAACAGAACAACACGUAACGGGUCCACAGCUUCACAGACUGGAAUACCCAUGGGCCCACAGUGUGAGUCUGGAAUGCCUACCGGGCCCUCAGAUCACAUUUGGAUUGCCACCGAGCCCUCAGUACGAGCCUGGAAUGCCUACUGGGCCCUCAGAUCGUAUCUGGAAUGCUCUCGUGUCCUCAGUAUGAGUCUGGAAUGCCUACCGGGCCCUCGGUUCAUAUCUGGAAUACUCUAGGGUUUGUUGGCUACUGCACGGAGCAGUACCACCUCAACCCAUCCCACAUAACAUGCCGACAUGUAACAGAUAAAUGCACAAACAGGUAAUCAAUCAGUAUCACAGGUAGUCCUACAGAUCUACCAAACUAGCAUAUCAACUGGCAUACAUCACUAACUCAACUCGACAUAUCAAUAGCUACCCAUAUAUCAACUCGGAGGGACCGACCUAAUGUCGUAGACCCUGUCAGUAUAGUGAGGAGAACUUACCUCAAAAUGUUGAAGUCCCGUAGACACAAUCUCAGCUACUGGAUGAUAGAUUCCCGAACUGUCAAUGUCAAAACAUCACCCAAUUAAUAAUUGGGUUCCAAGCCCAAGGUCCAACUCAUACUACAAAAACCCAAUAGUCAAGUAAUGGGCCAAAGCCCAACAUAUGGCCCAAUUUUCGAUAUUGGGCCCAGAACUCUACAUGGUCUUUCCUUAAGGCCCAUCCAAUUAUUUUGGUCCAAACUCUUGGUAUUCCCUUGGCCCAAUAUCACAUAAUCGUACAGGCCCAAACUAUGGUCCAUUUUAUGGCCCAAUUUUCCAAAUUGGGCCUAACUCCUCAUAUGGGCCUUAACCUAAAGCCCAUCAACCUGUUCUAGUCCAUAUGAUCAUUCUUGGAUGGUCCAUUAAUAAUCCAAUUACCAAAGCCGAAUAGGAAGGCCCAACACAAAGCCCGAGUGACAUUAGGGUUUCACAUAAAGUGACAAUUAGGGUUAAGUGUUUCUCACUUAACCCAUUAAGGACUUAACCUAUUAAGUCAAUUAUUACCUUAAGUUAGUUUUCCAAUGAUUAUUAUUUAAUAUUUCAAGUUUAUUACAUAAUUCUCGUGUGUGUAUCCCGAUCAAUUUCCACAAGUUAGGGUUUUAUGCCCUUUGGGUUUCCAACCCAAUACUAGUUCAUUAGUCUAUUGGUUGGGCUUUUAGGUCACAUUGGGUCUUAUUGGCCCAUUAGGGUUCUUUUGGGCCCACUAGGGUUUCUUUGGGCCCAUUAUGGUUUCAUUGGUCCCACAUUGUCCAAACAUCCCCCAAACAAGGUCCAAAGGCAAUCAAAGCACACCGCCACCCGACACGGCGGCCGGUGGCGGCAGGAGGCGACAACCACCACUUCACGGUGGUGGUUUGGAGUUUUUUUUAUUGUUAUUCUGGUUACAAUUACAAUGCUGAAAACCAAAAUAAUGCACACACACUCACACACACCUAAAUCCAUAGCAAAACACACACACAACCACCACCACGCGGCGGCUGGUGGUGGCAGAACAGCAAAGGCGGCGUUAACCACCAUGGUUGGCAGCAAUGGUGGUCUACCAUGGUUUCUGGCCAAACAAACAUCUCUAUAGCAGGCUCUCUAGUGGCACAAUCACACCCACACACUUGAUCGGAAAAAUAACCCAGCCACCCACUUGGUGGUUCCGGCAGUAGCAGAACAAGCGACCACUACUACAGUUGACGGCGGGAACAGCUGCAACGAUGGCGUCAGCAACAACGGCAUUGAGAACCACAACAACAGGUUCGACCUGCCCUUCUCACGACCACAACACCGAUUCAACCUCACGUUUGAUAGUCUCAGGCGGCAGCUCACAAAUUUAGUCUCAACGUGAGACUCUUCGUUUUCACUGGCGACUGGAGCGUCAAUGGCGUCAGACGGUGGUGUAGCAACUACAUUUCCCAAUGCUUCAGCGCAACAGGGCAAGCAACCUUGGUGGUUCACGACCCACAAUCGCUUCUUGUUCCCGGCAGGCGACUGGAGGUUCAUAAGGUGGCGGAUGAAAGUUGAAUGGCAGUUUUCCAAGUGAACGACAGCAGCAUGCACACAACUUCAUUCCCUGGUACUAGGAUGGAUAUGAGGUGGUGGCUCCGAUAGUUUGGGAUCUCAACCGAGGUGGUGGCUAGUCGAUGGAGAAGAAGGUAGCGGCUGGAGGGAGAUGAGGUGCAGAUGGCAGCUGGGAACAAUACAUCUAGGGUUAGGGUUUACCGGGGAGGGUAAAGUUUAAAUACCCCGCCCCUAAUAGACAUUUUCCCAUAAUUACAAGAUCAACCCCUCCAUCUUCCUUUCUUUUCCAAAUCUAAUCCAUAAUAAACACAACAACCCCUCCCUCAACAAACCCUUUCAACAUAGGUCUAGAAUUUACUCUCUAGUCCCUUCUUCUAUAAUUCCUUACAUAUUAAGCCUAAAUAAUACCAAACACUCCUUGACUUAUGAAAAUCUGUUGGGUCAAAAAUAUGGUUUAUAUUUUGCUUUUCUAGGCAAAUGUAUUUUGCUGUAAUGUUUUAUGAGUUUACGGUUAGGUUUACGGCCAGGGAGGUGUUUACGUCCGUAAACCCAUUUACGACCGUAAACAGGUUUACGGCCGUAAACCCAUUUACGGCCGUAAGCCUUCUUUCCAGCUAAAAACUCAUUUUUGGUUUAAAAAUUAAAGUCAAAAUCACAUCUUUUGCACAAAAUAUAUGUAUUAUUGUUGUUUUCUCACUUGUCNGUAUGAAUCUUGUAUCUGGAUCUUCAUUCAUAUCAAUACAUACAAGAUUCAUCAUUUUCUUCUUCUCCUUCUCUUAUGUUUGAUCUGACAUCAUCCGUUUGAUUGGGAUUCCGCACCAUCAAACACAUCUGAUUGAUACACAAGUAGAUUGGGGACUUACAAUUGGUAUCAGAGCCAAAAAUAUUUUUGUUUUGUUGAUAGGGGAACACAUUUAGAGGUUCGGGAACACAUUCUAGUGCAACUAAAAUCGAACCAUUUAGAGGUUGCCUGUAGAUCUCGCUGCUUAAUUUAAGUGGACAACAAUACCCGUGGUCGUCAUCAGCUAAAUGGUUUAUUUAGAAAAGUUUGUCGAUACUCUUCAUGUUUAAGUGGACCACAAUACCAGAAAUUGACUAGAUCUAUGUAUAAAGGUGAAGGUACUGAUAAACAAGUUAAGGCUGUCUCACAACUUUGAUCCCAAAUAUUUUUCUUUUUGUUAAAUUUGUUCAUAGUUUUCCUCUAUGCACAAAUUUAGGGGGAGAAUUAAAAAAUCCAAAAAUAUUUUUGUUUAUGUUUUAAUUUGUAUGCUAAGUUUUCUUUUAGUUUUGUUUUGUCUUGAAAAGUGAAUCCGGGUGUAGAUGAGACUCAUGGAGACUGUAUCAAAGAUUUCCUGAGCCAAGGCUUCAUCCGUGAUCAUCGAAGAAUUCUCAUUCGAAGGAGCAAGAAAUGAAGAUUAUUCUUUCGACAUUCAAUCUUUCAACCCCAGAAGCAAGGUGAAGCAGAAAUUGAAGAUUAUGUGACAGAUUGCAUUAAAGCCUCCUCAGUCAGUCUGCUGCUAUCGUUGUACCUGCUAAAGUGAUCCAGAAGAUUUGUUCUCUCUGAUGUUCUCUCUGAAGAUUCUCAAGCUGAAAGCACCAAUUUUCAAGAAUCUUUACAAGAAGCCUCCUCACCUAAUGUGCAUUAAAUGUCAAAUUCUGAAGAAAUUACCAACUGCUCAAGAUGAAGUCAUUUAUUGAAGAUUCAUCAAGUUCAUCUUGAAGUUGUGAAGUCAUCGAAGAUAAACGUUGAAGCCAAUCUCCAACUGAAGAUUAACAAGAAACGCCGGCUACUUUUUAGGGGGAGCUUGUUGGGUCAAUUAAGAAAAGAAAGCUAUAAACCAAGGGGGAGAUUAUUGUGUCAAAAAUAUGGUUUAUAGUUUGCUUUUCUAUGCAAAUGUAUUUUUCUGUAAUGUUUUAUGAGUUUACGGUUAGGUUUACGACCAGGGAGCUGUUUACGGCCGUAAACCCAUUUACGACCGUAAGCCCAUUUUCAGCCCAUGUUUCUCAUGUAUAUAUAGGGUGAGGAGUGUAAGGGUAACGUUUUUUAGUGAUGAACAGAAGAUAAUAGGGAGCUUAAGUGUGUGUAAGUGUGUGUGAAUCUUGUAUCCAGAUCUUCAUUCAUAUCAAUACAUACAAGAUUCAUCAUUUUCUUCUUCUCCUUCUCUUCUAUUUGAUCUGACAUCAUCCGUUUGAUUAGGAGUCCGCACCAUCAAACAGAUAUGAUUGAUACACAAGCAGGUUGGGGAAUUACAAAAUCUUUACAAAUAAAGUCCAAAAAUUACACUUUAACCCCUGGAGAUUCAAUUCUUGCCAUUUGGCUUACUAAAACCAACACCCCACUAACCAUUUAAUUAUUCUAUUUAAAACGGGGUGUUACAACUCUCCCCCACUUAAAUUUGAUUUCGUCCUCGAAAUCGUUUCUUAUCAUUCCUUACACGCCAAACAACUUGAACUACUUGGAUACAAUCCCAAGCAUAACCUUAGCCAUUCCAAGGCAACUGUAACCAACCCUCACAGUAUUGUAAAACCUAAAAAUAACGAAUCCCUUGGAAUAUAAUCACAUUUACUCAGUUCGAAUCUGAAUCUCGGGUUGGUCCAUCUCCUUGACAGACCGUCCACUCUGAAUUCUAUUCAACUUUGUUGCACGUAGCUCCUAACUGGCUACUCAACUUUUGAUAACCUGAGGCUCUCAUUAGAAAGCAUAACCCCAAAUCACACACUAGUACCUAUAACUCUUUUCUUGACAAGAGAUUAGGUACUCAUUUUAAGAGAAACCCGUUUGAUAACCAAUUCCAUGGGAUAUAAUGAACAACAGAAUGUAAAAUGGGAGAUGAACUCUUUUGGAUCAUUACGACAAUGUUUCCUUUGGUUCCUGAACCAUAUACAUAUAAUAACCAGCUCAUAAGCCCAAACACCCAUACCUGGCCCAGUCAGUCUCGGGCUGGAAUACCAGGCAUGCCCACGAUGGGUCUAGUCAUCCUUAGGAUGUAAUACCCUCGUAUCCUGCACAUGUUUGGCCCAAUCAACCCUCACGUUGGCAUACCAAAACAUGUCAUUUCUAAUCAAUCAUAGGGUCCGGUCAUCCUCGGGAUGGAAUACCCUAGAUCAGAAUACCACUAUAUACAAAACUCAGGUCUAAACUCAUAACUUCAGGUUUAGGGAGCUACUUUGUAUUUCGCACAAAAUCUUCCGAUUCCUCGCAGCCAAUUACGACUCGCCCGAACCUCAACAAUGUGUACAUUCCGAGAGCGCUCCAACAAAAGAAUGAACUACUAGGAUCACUAGGCCCACAACCUAUGACUGGAAUACCCAUACAAGGUCCUCAUCAUAGGUCUAGAUUGCCUCUGAGCCCACAGUAUGAGUCUGGUAUGCCCUGCCUGGCCCUCAGCUCAUGACUGGAAUGUUCCUAAUAAACUAUCAACCUUGUCCGAGAGAAAAGGCCUAACCAACGUCCUUCACAACACUUACCAACGCCACAAUGCUGGAAUUCCACAAUGCACAAUCCACCUAUAGAACAAGUUGCUUAUCCGAGCAAAAUCCUACGACCUUGGUCGCACACGAUCCCAGAAUAGAAUGAUAGUCAAACUCUAGAUUCAACUUUGCAGACUAUAACCCAGCCCUGAUCAGACGUAAUUUGAACCAACUCUAUUGCCACCUUGAAUACCCAUAGAUAUACGCGAAGAAUCACUACCAUGCACAUAAUUGAGAAUCCCUAACUCCACACUUACUCGCCACAAAGCCCAUACUCGAUCGAGACUAAUCCGAUUUUAGUAAUACUAAAGUAGUCUGAGAAGAUUUCCACAAUUAUACCGAAAGUUACCGAAAUCCGAGUCCGAUACGAAUCAAAAUUCGAUUCCAUUAUCGAGGGAAAACAUACCCCCAAAACUUAGGAAACAUAAGCACACUACAUAAGGGAAUUCGUGACAUGCUCCUAUCUUCUCAACGGUCGCCUCUUGAAUUCCUUCGGAGGAUUUCCGCUCCCUGAGAGAUUCACCGAUUAACGCCUGUCCAACCCUUCUGGAAACCAUAAUCUGAACAGCAACAAACAAAACCUUCAAUGGCUGACGCUUAACAUGAGAAUUCCUAAUUCUCUCCCAAUUAGAACACUAAUCACCACCCACCGGUGUGAAAUCAAAACAUAAAUUAACCGACAAUCCCUGAUGCUUGAAUGAUCCCCCACUCAAAUCUUAAGGACCAAAAGAUAAAUGAUCUACUAAUACUUCAACAAUAAUCUAUUUCCCUCGGCGCUCUCAUACGCCAAUUAAUAACGAUUAAUAAAACCACCGAAUCCUGACAAUGCUGAAUAACCAUCCUGUGGGACCCUAUCAUCAAACCUCCCACAUAAUACCCUUCUUCCCAAAGUACUCUAACCAAUCUCCCACUCUCGGCUCUAGAAAUCAUAUCAUUUAGGAUCACGCACCCAGACUCACUCACCAGCUCGAUCAUCCACAGCUGAGCUGCAGCAGUUGAUACAACCUGUAACGACCAAAAAAUCCAACCAAUUUAAAUUUUUCAAAAACAACCCGAUUCCAUUAAAUUAUUACAAAAAGGUUUCCAAUACAAAUCAUUUAGAGUAUUCCCAGAAUCACAUUACUACAAAAUCAUGAGGAGCGGUACGAUCACGCCUUUGCCUUUCCACGGUCUCCUGAAGAGCCUGAAAAACAUUAAACCACAACUGUAAGCCCGAAAGCUUAGUGAGAUACCCCCAAAAUACCAACCACAUAUACCAUACACAUAUCAUGCUAUCUCAUAACGAAUCACAGAACAGCCAUGCAUAUCGGGUCUACUGUGGGACUGGUCCGCCUUGUCGGGCCUUCAGUCCACCUGGUCCACCCUCCGAGUCCAAUCAUGUCCCUCGAGUCUACAGUGUGGUUGGUCCGCCCGCACUGGGCCUUCAACUCACCUGGUCCACUCUCUAAGUCCAAUAAUGUCCUUCGAGUCUGUAGUGUGGUUGGUCCGCCCGCACCGGGGCUUCAACCCACCUGGUCCACUCUCUGAGUCUACAGUAUGACUGGUCCGCCCGCACCCGGGCCUUCAGUCGGCCUGGUCCACUCUCUGAGCCUCGACACGUCUGGUCCGCCCUCGUGGGUCCUACAGCCUAUCCGGACCGCUCGCUGGGCCUUCAGAAUAACCAGUCUACCCUAGGUAUCUUGGCCUACAGCACGAAGCAGGACCCGCCUCAACCCAACUCUAGUCCAAACAACCAUGUGCACAUAAACAUACAAUCACAUAACAAUUCAUAUUCAGGCAAACCGAUCUAGCAGAUCACAUAACACAACAUGCUCUAACAGAAUACCGACCUAACCGGUCACUAGCAUAGCCUCACCCUACAUACCAGGAUACCGACCUUAACCAGGUCUCUAACGAAUACCAUCCUAACUACCCGGAUGCAUACAUAUCAAAGCAAUAACAUAAAAACAAAUACCCGGAUCUCAAUCCGAUAAAGGGCCGGCCUUGGUGCCUUAGACCCUGUUGAUAUAGUGAGGAUAACUCACCUCGAAAUUGUCGGCUGAAAGGAUAAGAUCCCGCUGCUCCAAACUCCGACACGAACUCCUCCACUGAACACCAAAACACUCAACUUAAUAAAUACCCUUAAUUACCAAAAUACCCCUGGAAGACAACUGGUCAACCCUUGGACAAGGUCAAAGUCAACCCCUGACUGACUCUACUCGCCGAGUCAACCCGAUGACUCACCGAGUCCCCAAGCUCAGAACUUCCCUCAAUCCGCGACCUAACUCGCCGAGUCACCCCGAGACUCGCCGAGUCCAACAACUCUGAGUCCACUCGCACCCAACUCACCGAGUCAUCCCUUGACUCACCGAUUCUCGACUCAACCAGAAAAUAUUUGGACUCUUCGACAAGACUCGCUGAGUCCAAGAACAGACUCGCCGAGUCUAAGGCUAUCUUCAACCUACUCGCCGAGUUGUUCAUCCAACUCGUCGAGUUCCAGCUCAACUUCAAGCAACUCGUCGAGUCCACCCUUGUGUCUCGCCGAGUGCCACCGGUCUGAAUCAAUACAGAAGCAUUCCAGGCCAUGCAAUUUAUCCAAAACAUAGAUCUAGCCUCCUACAACCCAUCCAUCACGUAAAGUGGCAAACUUUACGUGAAUCCAAAGAGAUCUAGGCAUUUUUACUCUAGGGUUUGGGGUUUUGGACAAGGUAGCUCCAUCAACAACACAAGAACAUGGACUUUAUUGCUCUUAAGACCUUCUCCACUCCAGAUCUGAGGUAGCAACCUCAGAUCUAUCCUUCAAACUCAAGAUGCCACAAAUCUAAGCUUCCCACACAACCCCAAAAUGAAGAAUCUAGAAGAACACGACCCAAGAACGAGAUAUUACCUCAAAAUGAAGCCUCCAACAGCAAGAGAUCCGAAUCUAAACAAAUCCCUUUGAUCCAAGCCUCUUUUCCUUCAAGAUUUCUUCAACAAACACCUCCCCAAGCUCCAAAUGCAUUGCAAUCUUCCACAAUCACGCUUUCUAGGGUUUCUGGACUUCAAGGGGGAUCAAAGAGGCUGGGGAAAGGGUGUAAUGUUCUUUAAAUAAGGCUCAUUCCCCGGAUUUAGGGUUUUCUCCACUAAGCACCUACUCGUCGAGUCCAUCUUUGGACUCGCCGAGUAGGCCACUUGAUUCGCGAACAAAGUCGCGACCCUACUCGCUGAGUCCAUCCAUGGACUCGCCGAGUUGCGCUUCAAAAUUUACACUUUUAGCCCUUCAACUCUACUCUUGAUAUUUCAGGAUGUUACACAACCUCUGCCCUAAACCGGGCUACAACUACUUCCAUGACAUAGCCUACAGUCCCAAAAGUGCAAUAGAUCGCACAAUUAAUCCUUACCACUUGAUACAAGAGAUCAAAGGCGAUCCAAACCUCACAUAAUACUUCUACCAUAUCGACCCACCUGCGCUCACUAGCGCUGAACUACUGUCGCCAAUCCCAACGACCAACUGACCCUAAGCUGGAAUACAACCUGACCCUGAGGUCACAAGCCUGCUCAAUCCUUCGAGCUCGUAAACUGAAAGGGAAGAAUCCUUUCCCUAAAAAAUGACAUUCCAAUCCAUCAAUAAGCCCUUCUACUUCUAGUUGCAAAACCCCAGCUAAACAUAAUCAUUACUCCUUUCCGGAAUCCCCGUGAAUCACAUUCCGGCCUCGAGCAAAACCCCCGAAGCCUCAAAUCUAGAAACGCAUGUGCUAGACUCUCCCGUUUAACCCGCAGACUGUAACAAGUACAGAACAUCUCCAUGAUCCCAAGUAACUGCAGCCCUCUGCUCAUCGAAAUAUGUCCCAGUAACAAGUCCUAGUACUGAAAAGUGUAACAACCCAAAAUUUCUAUCUUGUACAAUAGACCAAUGUAAUCAAAGUUAGACUGGUUUUCUAUAUUUUAACACAGUUUAAGGUCUAUUUGAGUGUUCUAUACUUAGUACAACUAAGAUAGGAGCCUAAAAAUGGGAUAACAUGAUGGAUAUCAAGCAAAAUCGGGCCAAACACUUCAACACCUGGAGUGUGCGGCCGCACACUUGAGUGUACGGCCACACACAGGUGUGUGUGGCAGCACACCCAUCCCAACCACACUCUAUUGCCUAUAUAUGUCACCCUUAGUCAUUUUUUAACAAUUUUUCCACAACUUCAAAGCUGGAACUCGUUUUCUCUCUAGUAUCAUCCACAUUUCUCUUCAAAUCUUCAAAUCAAGUAAGUGUUGCUUCCUUGAUUCAUUAAUACAUGACCUUGACUAGCUUUCCCUUUGCUUUGAUCCAUGAAAACAUCCAUUCUUGGCCAAGAACACCAAGAACACAUACUAAACUUUUUGGAGUUUAACCAUAUUUCUAAGCCUCUAAAUCGUGCAUACACUUAUCAUAGCCUGUUAUAUGCCAAGAACACUUGAAGAUAUGCAGGAAUAACGCCAUUUCUCAUAAUCUCCAGGAGUGUACGGCUGCACACACCAUGUUCAACCAUACACNAACGCAUGUGCUAGACUCUCCCGUUUAACCCGCAGACUGUAACAAGUACAGAACAUCUCCAUGAUCCCAAGUAACUGCAGCCCUCUGCUCAUCGAAAUAUGUCCCAGUAACAAGUCCUAGUACUGAAAAGUGUAACAACCCAAAAUUUCUAUCUUGUACAAUAGACCAAUGUAAUCAAAGUUAGACUGGUUUUCUAUAUUUUAACACAGUUUAAGGUCUAUUUGAGUGUUCUAUACUUAGUACAACUAAGAUAGGAGCCUAAAAAUGGGAUAACAUGAUGGAUAUCAAGCAAAAUCGGGCCAAACACUUCAACACCUGGAGUGUGCGGCCGCACACUUGAGUGUACGGCCACACACAGGUGUGUGUGGCAGCACACCCAUCCCAACCACACUCUAUUGCCUAUAUAUGUCACCCUUAGUCAUUUUUUAACAAUUUUUCCACAACUUCAAAGCUGGAACUCGUUUUCUCUCUAGUAUCAUCCACAUUUCUCUUCAAAUCUUCAAAUCAAGUAAGUGUUGCUUCCUUGAUUCAUUAAUACAUGACCUUGACUAGCUUUCCCUUUGCUUUGAUCCAUGAAAACAUCCAUUCUUGGCCAAGAACACCAAGAACACAUACUAAACUUUUUGGAGUUUAACCAUACUUCUAAGCCUCUAAAUCGUGCAUACACUUAUCAUAGCCUGUUAUAUGCCAAGAACACUUGAAGAUAUGCAGGAAUAACGCCAUUUCUCAUAAUCUCCAGGAGUGUACGGCUGCACACACCAUGUGUACGGCCGCACACACCAUGUUCAACCAUACACACCCUUUUUAGGUCCUAAAAUGGAAAUGAACUCCAUAUAAGGCUAGAGCAUGAAGUAAGAAACCUUCCUAGAUGAGUCAUAAGGCCUUAAAAUACAUUUUAACACACUUCAUGGGGAGUGUGCAGCCGCACACACACCAUGGCCGCACCCCCUGGCCACACACACACAAAUGGUGUAUUUUGACCAUACACUCCCUUGUAUAGCCAUAUACCCCUUAUAUACAAUCAUAUAUGAUUGUAACACUUCAAUAUAAGUGUUUACUAGUCCCUAAGGUGGUCACAAUUCAAUAAUUAGUUGUUACCAACACUAAUUGUAUACACACAUAUGUCAUUAUAUGGUUGAUAGGAUUCGUUUGUGCUCAAGUCCGCAAUUGACACUCAACUUCCUAAACCGAUUUUACAGUCGCAUCACUCACUACAGGUGAGUUCAUAUCCCUUAAACAACCUUUUAAAUGUUUUUAAAUGCUUAUAUGGGGGGGGGGAAUACAACUUGAAUUACUAUAGUUAUAAUAUCAAUCACAUGUGAUUUAUAACUAUCAAACAAAUGGAUUUACUAUACUUCUAACUGUUUUGUCAACAAAACUACUUCAAAAUGAUUAUCAAACCCUUUUACAUGUUAAACUUAUUAUAAAACUUUCUCUUAAUUACCAAACCAUUACUUUCAAUUCUUUAAACUUAUAUAUUGUCAAAACCAUUCCCAGUACAUAUAUAGUUAUAUAAAUAAGGUUUGAAGGACUUAGGACUGAUAACUCGCUUUAAUUCAUGUUCCUUGUUUGGUUGUGUAGUUAGUGUACUCUAUGGUUUGUCCGAGUGUCGUUUGAUCCUUAGUUAUAUAUUAUGUAUAUAUGUAUGGAUAUAAAUUUUUUACUUCAGUUCCAACACCGUUGGAUAGCAAAGGUGUAUAAGCUUUCUAAGUCGUUCAAACAACAGUUCUAGUAAACUAUAAUACGUAUAGUUUAGGGAUAUACUACUUACUAAUUUCUAGUACAAUGAAACAUAUAAAGAGUCAGUUCAUACAUGAGUCGCUAUAUACUAUACACUAUACAGAGAGAACAUACACUAGUACAUACAAUUCAUACACACUAUAUACUAUGCAGAAGAACAUACUAUGAUGAGAAUCAGAGAGGACAUUCACUACACUACCACAUACAAUACAUCUACACUAUAACAUAAAUGUGAGGCACUACUUCGGGGCAUGCCAUCUUUGUCGUGGCUCAUCUUGUAACCAGAGUCUUCUGAAGGGAGAGCAUGAAUUUGUGUAUAGAUCUAUACUGGACUGACCGUCCUACAACUUGCUGCUAGCUACAGUGGGACCUGCAGGUCUUCGGGUGAUGAAUGUCAUACCAUCUCGACGUCUUUGAGUGGCAUGUUUUACUAGGUCGAUCAAGUAUAGUUACAAAUUAUAUCACAUUAUACCUUAAUUAACAAUUGGUUUAAGGUGGUUAGUGUUGGGUUUGAGCAGUCUAACACUCCUAAGUGUACAUGCAACUCUAAAUACCUUGGAUCUAUGUUUUCUCUAUUAUACAUGCAAAUAUGAAUAUUCCAAGUUAUUACCCUAUUUAGCAUACAAUCCUUGAUACAUAGGUAAUAUAAUAAGUUAGAAUCCAUACCUUUUAAUGAAGCUUGAAGUCUUGAACUUUAAGAGAUUAGCCCCAAUAGUGUGGAAGCCUCAAGUGGAAUCACAAAUCACCAAAACACCUUGGAAAACCUUUAGAGAAUAUGGAUACUUGGCUCACACUUAUGAAAUUGGUUAUUGCCCUCUUUAGUGUAUCCACACUAAUCACUAUCACAAGUUCAUGAACCAUAGGACCCUUUAUAUAGUGUGGAGGAUUAGGGUUAAAACCUAAUACCCAUGACCUUUCAUUUCCUAGGAUCCAUGGGUUAAAGCUCCAUGGAAUAUCCAUGAUAGCUUAGCCUAACCUAAAUGAACUUGGCCCACUACAUAUAUAUCUAAGAGUCCAUAUUUAAUUAGUUCCUUUUGAUCACUUAAUUAAUUAUAAAUUAAUUCUUGAUCAAUACUAAUUAAAUAAUAUGAUUCCGUAUUAAUAUAUUAGAACUUAUAAUAUAUUAAUAUAAAUCAUAAAUAUACUAUUCUCAAAAAACUAACCAUAUAAAUUGUGUCGGUGAAGUGCAACCCAAAUGGACCAUGUCGAGUCGGGUCAAGUACAUACCAAAUAUAGUUAUGGACUUAGACAUUAAUCCAACAGUCUCCAACUGGAUAAGCCUAAAACUAUUAUUGAGUAUGACUUCAAAACCUAACUGGCAAUCGUAGGUCUUAAAGCCGCUGUCGAACUUUGACCUUGUCAAUGAACUCUGACCUUUGUCAACGACUUGUCCAUUAGAUAAGGGAUCAUAUAUUCCUCCAUUCUAGAUAUCAUAUGGACUGAGACAUGGAUUAUAAUCCUUCUCUCUGUCCAUUUGUUGUUUCCCGAUUUCCGAUUUAUGACGACUGACUAAUUGAACAAAUCAAAUCAGUCCUGGCCCGGCCGAGCACUUCCAUUUGUCAUCAUCAAAUCAUCGAGGGGCCCACAGAUAUCGCUUUUAUCCCGAAGGUAAAAGGAAUGGAUAAACUUCUACUCAUAUGGCUUGUUUUACUACUUGUUGAAUCAUACACAAAGGCACGUUUUAUAAUGUCGAGUUACCGAAUGCGUUUUCGUGCAAUCAAUGUACAACCAACUCAUAGUAACAACUCAUAUCUCUAGGUUUCAAGAAUAUAAGAUAUUAUCAUCUCAUGAUCACUCGUGAUAAAAUCCAUGAAGUGAUUCCAAUGAGCGCGGGUUGAAUCCAAUACUCAGAACUUAUGAGCACUCAUGAGUGUUGUAGCACAACUUUGUCCACCAACUUGGACCUCUACAAGCCAACCCAUGACAGUCUUGAUUCAUAUCUACUUCCAACAUAUGACCGACUGUGGAUGGUUUGAAUAACUUAGUCAUUCCGGAAGAAUAACCUAGUUAUUAUGGAAGUCAAAACAUGCAAAGUCAAACACAAGAAUAAAUUAAUCUAAUAUGGUAUCAAAACCUAUGAAUAUAAAUAAAACACUUUCUAUUUAUCACCAUACUGAUUACUCAUUAUUCAUUGUUUCGGUUUUAUCAACUUUAUACUUGAAUUAAAACACUACGUGUCCCAUGCUCCAAGCAUGUACACUAUGUUUUUCUAAACAAUAGCUUUUCCAUACACCAAGUAUGAACUCUAUGUUUGUCUAUGAUCCUUUUCUUUGUGAACUUAGAUCAAUUGAACAUAAUUUCAAUGAUUCUCAUUUCACACUCCCAAUUCCUUACUGCAAAUGCAAGAAUUCCAAACUCAUGCCAUUUACUGAAAUCUGUUAGAUUCUAAACUUAUAUGCAUUGAUCCUCUUGUAAUGAUUAUGCACAAAGUCACAAAGACUUGAAAAAAAACAUUACAGAGCAUUCCAAAGAGAUCAACUCCUUUGAAACAUCCAUCUUGCAUUAAGUUUCCUAAUCUUACACAGAUUUAUUGAACAACUUCCACUUUCCCAUAUUCCCAUUUUGACUAUCACUUCUGAACAAGAGUUGCCUCUUUUCAGAAUGUGUCAAUAUGCUCCUUCCAAAAAUUUACAUUAUACUUCCAACUGUCCCUACGCAGCCAAUCUUUGGUAAACCUUAGAUUUUCCUCGACAAUUGCUUAUUCAUUUUAGUCAUAUCCAAUUCUAGACCUUUUCCCUUCUUAAUGCCCCAGGCAUUUGGAAAAUUUCAGAAAGGAUGAAUAUUAUAGCACAUGCAAUCGAUACUAUAUUCGAAGCAUAUGGGAAACGAUUAAUGAUGUCUCACAUAAAGACAUGAUACUAGACCAGUCCUUUUGCUACAAUAUUUCUAUUUGCCAAAUUCUCAUAAUUCAGAUUAUAAAAAGGGAUGCCGUAAUCAUAAUCGAAUUUUAGAACGCAAAUAAUAGACCUAUAUAUAGAAUUUCCUUAUGUUGAGCCAUUCCAACACAAAAUUCAUAUAUAUCCUUGACUAAAGAUGAUUAAAACCUCAAUCUAAGCUUGUAGAUUUGAGACGAAGUAUAAUUUCCUCUCACUUAAUUAUAGAAAAACAACUUUUCAGCCCCUGCAACUCCACGAAUUGAAAGUUUUGUUUUCUAUAAUUAAAAUUACUAACUUGCAACCUUUAUAAUAAUUAUCAUGCUUCCACUAACAUGAUGAUUAUUAGAAAUAACACUAAUGCUCCCACUAGCUUUGACAUGUACUCAGAAAUCAACUAGACUUCUAGAAAUCAAUACUUUAUUGACUUUCUUACCAAAGUUUAGAUUUCUGAGACGAGAUUGCCUUGAUAAGACUUUAUCAAAAUCAUACACCUUAUCUUAGAUAGCUCAUAUGUGUGUCUAAACAAUUUCAAAACUAUGAAAAGGGAUGUCAUAAUCAUAGUCUCAAUUGUUUAGACCUUUUGCCAUCUGCUUCAAAUCUACUUGGUGGAAGUGUUUCCUCACCAUCAAUUUCAUGAAUCGGAGAGAAACCUUAUGACCCUUAGAUUUUAUGGUGUAUGUUUUCUUAUCCAUGUGAAUUUUCAAAACCAUAGUCACAAGACAUGGAUAAUGACAAAUCCAAACUCAUAUGAACUGAACUCAAUCUUAUUUUCUUGCCACCUUAUGCAACCAAUUGAGAACUCUAAGAACUCAUAUGCAAAGCCAGCUUUAACUGGAAUGGGCAUAGAAAUAGAAAUAUGUCAACAUGAUAGGUUAUAAACCUCACGUGGUGUUCUAAUGUUAAACUACAUGUUUUUAUUCUUGAUUAGAUCUUGAAAUUCUUCCAGGAUCUUUAAGACUCCCAUUAUCCUCUUGACACAUAAGACUCACUUGCCAAAUAUUCAGGAGAUAGUUUGGAUUCUUUAUCAAGACAAACACUUCACACAAUUGGUCUUAGUUGAUCUUUGUUUUAUCCAAAAAAUCACAACUUACCAAUUUCAAAUGUACAAGAGUAGGAUACUUUUACUUUUACAUUUGACAAGUGUUAUAAACCUAUCUUUAAGAUAUGUCACUCAAGUUACAAUCUUGGAGUAUGACUCUAAGAAUUGUUUUGGAACAAAGUAUGACUCAUCUUCUUGAUUUAACCAUUUCAAUAAUUCAUGACUCCUCUUCUUAGUCAUAAGAAUGCACUAAGAUUUCCUUAGAGGACUAAUUGUGAUAUGAUUUCUAAAUCAUUAAGAUGAUCACAAAACUUGAUACUAAAGUACUCUCCCAUCUUUUCAGAUUUGAGAAACUUUUAUCCUUCUGCCUAAUUUGAUUCUUCUCAUUCGUUCUGCCAUACAUCGAAAUUAUUCCAAUGUAUCAGAAUUACACUUAAACUUGUAAGUGUAACCAUAUUUACUAAACUUUAGUAAAUCAUGACGAAUAGUCUUAUAGAUCUUUUGUGGUGGACUUGAUAUGUGCACAAGAAUGUGUACUCGAUCCAUUAGUCCUUCACUUGACUCACAUAUAAAUGUGAACAAGGAACUAGUCUUAAUUUUCCAAAGCUGAAAGUUCUCAUUCAUCAUAUUGUACAACUUGUAUGAUUCCAAGUUUCUAUCCAACUGAAACUUGGGUGAUGAGAAUCUUUCUUUGUUUGGUAAAUUUAGACACUAACACAAAUGAAAGAUCAAAUCCACUUUCCAAUAUUGCUAUCAAUGGAAUCAUAUAAACAACAUUUUCCACAAAUGCCAUUGUAAGGAUACUUAGAAUAAAUAAAACCAAAAAAUUUUAUUUUAAAACUUUGCGGAAAACUUAUCCUUACAAUGAAAAAGCAUAUGAAAAACUUGUUGUUAUCUAUUCCUAAGGAAAAUUACAUAACUCCUAAGUAACAGCUCAAAAUUCUGAUCACCGAACCAUGCGAUCGGAAUCCAUCUUCGCGAUCAGAAUCAGCAUAUACUUCCUUUAAGUUUCUUCACCUUUUCUUUGAUUCUUAAAACAUCAACAUGUGACCUCGUCACNAGAAUAGAAACUUAACAGAGUUUGAUAGUGGACUUUACCUGAAGAUCUUUCAGGUAAUUUUGGCGGCUUCGUAGCCAAUGCCCCUUACCAUGUACCAUUGUCAAUGUCCAUGGAAGUUGAUCUUCUAAUCAAAUUUGAUCUACUAUUCCUCCUAAUCAUUGUUGAUUUAGAAGCACCAAGCAAAUAGAUAAGAUCAUUAAGGGUCAUGUCAUAGUCUGUUCCAUAGUAGUCCCAAAGGAACUCACUAUGUGACAUAGAAAGUGAUUGAACAUCCAACUUUCUCAAGACUUUGACACCCAACGCUCCCGGCUUGUCAAUAUGUGACUUUAUCUCCAAGAUGCGAGCACACAUAGACUUUGCUUGCCAAUAAGGCUUAAGUGACCAUGAACUUAUGGGUUAGGGAGAAUAAUUGGAGGAGAUGGAGGAAGUGAAGUUCCAAGAGAUUUGGGAAGAUCAUUGUUGUCUAAACCAGACAUUAACAAUGGGAGAAAUUCAAGUAAAGUUGAUUUAAGUCCUUAAUAUAACACCCAAUAUGAAAUAUUAAGGCUAGGACCCAACAAACUAUUUUAUAACUUGGAAGAGGGAUGCCGUAAUCCAAGCUAUAAAAUAUUUGAAGGUAGGUGAAUGACGAUUCACCAAUUUCCACCAAGAUAAACGAAAUGUAUUAUUAGGUUUUAAUUGGUUUUGAAACUCCUAGAUCUUUUAGAUUCAUUGAACUGUUCAAAGGCAUGUUUCAAUCUCGAGUGUGCCCUUCAGGUUUUGUGACUGGGAUGCCGAGGAUCACAAAACAAGGUGUGAAGUAACCAUGCAAAUCACUUGGUACCCUUAAUAAAUUACCCCUCAAUCGAUGUGCCGGUUAACCACAUACGCUCCACCGAUACUAUGAUAAACAUUAAGUUACCAUUUGCCUACUUUGUUAAGUCCAGGUUAGUGUGCCGGUUAACCACAGACGCUCCACUAAUGAUUUAACCAAAGUGAAAAGUGUAAUUUCAUGGAUUAGCACCUUAUAUACAUUCUCCUAAGUAACUAAGAUAGAGAAUUUAUAAGUGUUUAGUUACUUAGUAUUUAUCAUUAUACUUAUAAUGAAGGGAGAAUUAUAGUCCUUGUCUUACCUGUUCGGCUAAUGACCCUCCACCAGUCAAGGAAGCGGUGGGUGAGAGUGGACACCCAUUAAGUUGCCAUUUUAUAGGCAACAACCUUAUNCAUAUAUAAAUAUUAUUAACUUAUAAUAUUAUAAAGUAUAAGGGUUGAAUUUUAACUUUUAAGAUUCUAAAGGCUUAACUUGGAAUUAAAGUAUUCAUGGGAAAACUUUACAAAUUCCAAAACUUGAGGGAAAGUUUUGAAACUAUUCAAAACUUUUCAUUUCAUAACUUAUGAGUUUAAUGGUUCAUUAAAAUGAAGACUUUUCAUUUUUUAUGUAACCUCUUAUUCUUUAAUAACACUUUUAAAGAAGUGACUCUUAAACAUCCAUAACUUGAGGACAAGUUAUGGAAUCAUAAUACUAUUUAAUGAAAAAAAACUCUUCAUUUUACGUAACCUAUGGCACUUUUAUGAGUUUUAAGAUUCAUAAAUGUGACCUUUUAUGUAACUUGAGGACAAGUUACAAAAACACAUUUUAUGAACUAGAUUAAUUAGGAUUGAAAACAACUAAAACAUAAUUUUUUUUAUUAAUCUAAACUAACUCAUAAUUCAAGGAAACAUAAAACUUUUCGUAAUCCAUAACUUAUGGAGUUAAAUGCUUGUUUUAUGAUGAAACUUUUCAUGUUCCAUAACUUAAGAAUAAGUUAUGGAAUUCUUUAAAACAUUAACACCAAAUUUUGUAACUCCAUAAAAAACUUUGAAUAAUUUUUUUUUUAAAACCUUUCAUAUCCAUAACUUAUGGAGGUUUAAAAAACACUCUUUAGAUCAAACUUUUAAAACUAAUAAAAUAAUCAUAUCAUUUUAUCUUUUACUAAAUUUGACAUAAUUCAACUCAUAUAGCAAAUGAUUCAAAUUUUACAAAUAAUUAGUUUUUCACAAAAACAAGUAAUUAUCUUAAAAUUUGACAAACGUCAUGUUUUUUUUUCCUUUUUUUUCAACUUUGAAAAUAAAACAUUUGCAUCAAUAUAACAGAAAACAACCCAUGGCUCUGAUACCACUGUUGGGUUUUGAGCAUUCUAACACUCCUAAGUGUACAUGCAACCCUAAAUACCUUGGAUCUAUGUUUUCUAUAUUAUACAUGCAAAUAUGAAUAUUCCAAGGUAUUACCCUAUCUAGCAUACAAUCCUUGAUACUUGGGUAAUAUAACAAGUUAGAAUACAUACCUUUUAAUGAAGCUUGAAGUCUUGAACUUUAAGAGCUUAGCCCCAAUAGUGUGGAAGCCUCAAGUGGAAUCACAAAUCACCAAAACACCUUGGAAAACCUUUAGAGAAUAUGGAUACUUGGCUCACACUUAUGAAAUUGGUUAUUGCCCUCUUUAGUGUAUCCACACUAGCCACUAGCACAAUUUCAUGAACCAUAGGACCCUUUAUAUAGUGUGGAGGAUUAGGGUUAAACCUUAAUACCCAUGACCUUUCAUUUCCUAGGAUCCAUGGGUUAAAGCUCCAUGGACUAUCCAUGAUAGCUUAGCCCAACCUAAAUGAACUUGGCCCACUACAUAUAUAUCUAAGAGUCCAUAUUUAUUUAGUUCCUUUUGAUCACUGAAUUAAUUAUAAAUUAAUUUUUGAACAAUACUAAUUAAAUAAUAUGAUUCCAUAUUAAUAUAUUAGAAAUUAUAAUAUAUUAAUAUAAAUCGUAAACAUACUAUUCUCAAAAGACUAUCCAUAUAAAUUGUUCCGGUGAAGUGCAACCCAAAUGGACCAUGCCGAGUCGGGUCAAGUACAUACCAGAUAUAGUUAUGGACUUAGACAUUAAUCCAACAGUUAGUACAGCGGUAUUUACUAUAACAUAAAACUACAGUACUUCAUUAUUUUCCCCAUUACAUUUAUUUGCGAUCUACACAUAAACAAUAAUGUACAAACUAUAUUUUAUUAAUGAUGGUCACAUUUGGGAGGAAUACUCACUCUUACAAUGAACAAACACACAACACACUUGAUGCCUUGGUAGAAGGCUACUUUUAGUAGAAAAUAUAGGAUUUUCUAAGAGAUACAAACAAUUACUACAAACAUUUACAAACUCAUACAUUCAAAUGCAUACAAACAAUGACACUAAAAUGCUUAUGAACUCACCAGCUUUAAAGCUGAUAAACUCUUGCAAAAUAACUUGUAUUCUCAGGUCGUCAGUAGACAGGUACCGAGGCUUACUUUUGAGAAGAUGGAGCACUUUCAAGACUCAUCUUUAAUUUUGAUUCAUUAUUUUUGGUGUCUUAUAUCCUGUACAGAACACACUUGUAUUAAAAUAUAUUAUUAAUGCAAUGAAGGAUGUUGUUUGCUUGUUUACUAUAUUUCUGUGUUGUGAUAGUGUACAUGAUGUCCUCCGCCCCAGAACGUUUCCGCCGUUCCGGUUUUGGAGUGUGACAGAUUGGUAUCAGAGCAUUGUUUAUAGUGAAUUGAGUAUAUCAACCCAUAAAAAAAUAUUUAAACUAUAAACACAAUGGGAUUAAAAUACUCUGACCAAAAGUUUAUCCUUUUCAAUAAUAAAAUAUUUAACUAAGUAUACAAACCUGCAUUCAUACUAAAAUCAGUGUCACUAGGACAGAAAGAAAGUAUUACGAUUGUUGAAUAUCACAAGUAAGCUCGGGGAUGUAUGGCUAGUUCUGGGAGUGGCAUAACUUGAUCAACUAUGCUGGUCCGAGAAGUGAUUAGCAUAUGCCCAAGAAUGGUUGUGAUAUGGCAACAAGUCUAAAAACUUACCAACACUACUACAAUGAAAACUUUAGAACAAAACAUAAUUCUAAAAUACAAUAGGAGUAUUUUGUGUUACAAUAAUUCUUAUCUGAGAACUAAAAAGGUCUUUAUUAGGAGGUCAAUAUUUGUUAAAUGGAUAUGCUAAGGUUAGAUGAGAAUGAGGUGUCAUAGACUUAGAAUCUGUGAUCUUUGCUUUAUUUCCUGUUCCUUGUUUGGUUGUGGAUUUGGAGUUAGGGUCACUUAUUCGAAAGUCUAUCUUGUGUUGAUUUCAUAUAAUUGGUAUGCACUAUGCAAGUAUUGAAGUAACUGGUAAGGGUCAUAUUAUAAUUAUCUUAAGUAGUACGCCUAUUUUUAUAAGAUUCUUAUAUCCCUUUUCUCGCAUAGAUAUCAUGGUUGGAUUCCAUCCUCCUAACGACCCGUACUUUCCAGAUCAAGGCAAUGUUGCAUGGCUUGAAGAUGAGCCAGAAGAUGACCAUCCAAUUCCCUUUGGAUGAUCACCUCGCUGAAGGCUUUUCUAAUAGUUCUGACGGCUUUUCUGAUAGUUCCGACUUCGAGCCAUAAGUCAACAACCUACCCCAAGAUAGACAAGCCCCAAAUGUUAACCCCCGACCAACAUUUCAAGGUCCCACACCCUUGUGGGCGACAAACUUGAAUCGCUGGAGUGAUAAGCAGGGUCAACCCUUACCCUUCAAUGGAGACCGAAGCUUUUACAACCUAAGCGAUGGUGGCUCAGCUGACCGAGUCCUGCCCAUCAUUGUUCGUAAAAUUGCUCGGAACGUCGAGCAAGGUCGUGCAUCCAUCGACCGAGUCAUGGAAAUUGACGCCAACUCUGGUGUUAACACGGUUUGCAUUCACCAUCUCGAAACAGCUAUGGAAAGGUCUAGGAGAACCAAUGAAGCUCUGUAGCAACAAGUAGUUGCAUCCCAAGCUGAAGUCAGAAAACUUCGAGCUCGUCAGGAAAUGACUGAAAGGCGCAUGAGAUACAUGGAACACCGUCUGUCAGAGCCAAGGGCUCAUUCUAGUGGUUCUCGUCGUAGAUAUAGCCUACUCAACUCUCUCUUUUGGAUAUAACUUAGUUAUGUAGAAACUCUAGUUUGAUUUUCCUAUUUUAUAAAUACUUUGGAUCUGUCAAGUCUUGAUUAGGUCGUACUUCUGUCAAAAUUUUCCCAUCUUGGUUUGAUGUAAGACCUACUUUUAGGUCAUUUUUUUCCGAACUUGUUACAUCAAUAAUACUAGUAAUAUUGACAGAUAUCUAACCUAUUAGAAAGGUUGUACUCUUGUGUCUCUCUACACCCCUAUUGUGUCUCUAUUUCAAAACAUACACUCAUUCAACUGUUGGACUAUGUCAAUUUAGCCCAUGGAUCACUCUCACCGUGCUUACAAUUGAUUCUUAUUAUCAUGUUCAUCUUUAUAAACUUAUAGUUGAAAGAUGCCUCCUCGAAAUUCGGCAUGGCGUAAUACUUCGAUUACUCCAACUCUAAUACCACCACCUCCUCCGCAAUUCGAUGCAACAGCUCUAAAUGAUGCAGUAGUUGUGGCUGUAGCAACAACCAUGGCUCAAUAUCACUCUACGGGUGCCAGCGGAGGUGGAACCCCUGUUAAUUCUACGCAAGGUGAACUCCUCGUGCUCUCAAGAAAGUGCUCCUACAAGGACUUCACCAAUUGCAAACCAAAGUCCUUGAAAGGGACUGGCGGAGUCAUUGCCCUCUCGCAAUGGUUCGAAAAGAUGGAGUCGAUCUUCGAGAUCUGCUCCUGCUCAGCAGGGAGCAAGGUCAAGUUUACUGCUUGCACCUUCUAAGAAAAAGCCCUGACAUGGUGGAAUAGCCAUGUCAAGUUACUAACCCUGAUGGUGGCAAAUGAUAUGGGCUGGGAAACUCUGAAAGACCUGAUGAUUGAGGAAUACUGCCCGAGGGGCGAGAUCCAAAAGUUAGAACAAGAACUAUGGAGCCUAACCAUGAAGGGCUCCGACAUAGAUUCUUAUACUGCCAGAUUCAGUGAGGUGGUUUCCCUCUGUCCUAACAUGGUUCCUACAGAGGGAAAGAAAAUCGAGAGGUACAUCUGGGGCUAGUGCCUCCAUUUCAGGGAAACGUCUUAUCUUCAAAUCCCUAUACCUUCGAUAGUGCCAAGUGAUUGGCACAACGACUCAUUGACCAUGGGGUUCGUACCCCAUCAUCAACAACAACCCUAGCCAUCUCCGAAUCUUCCAAAGCCACUGACAACAAGCGGAAGUUCUGGGAUGACAAGAAGAAACAAAAAGAUGCCAAAAAGCAGCAGGUUGUGGCGGUUCAUGCUGUGAUAGCACUUGUCGCUGCUGCUCCGAUAAAGCAGUACUCUGGAAGCUUGCCAAUGUGCAAUAAAUGCAACUUCCACCACAAUGGACCCAACCGAGAUUCGCAGUGCUACAAAUGCAACAAAAAGCGACACACUGUCCGCUUUUGCAGAUCCUCGGCAAAGCCAAUCAACCAAGUUCCCGACGCUGGUGUGGGCUAGGCCUGCUACGGUUGUGGCGAGGUGGGACACUACAAGAGGAACUACCAGGAUUACCUCCCAAACAACAAGGCGAGUUCAGAAUCGACUUAGUUCUAGGAGCUACCCCAGUAGCCAAAUCGCCCUAUCGUCUAGCACUAACUGAGAUGCAGGAACUGACUGGGCAACUUAACGAACUGCUCAGGAAGGGCUUUAUUAGACCAAGCUUCUCACCCUGGGGAGCACUGGUCUUGUUCGUCAAGAAGAAAGACAGAUCAUUUCGUAUGUGCAUCGACUACACGGAGCUCAACAAGCUAACGGUUAAAAAUCGUUACCCUUUGCCUCGCAUAGACGAUUUGUUUGACCAAAUGCAAGGGGCGUCUUACUUUUCAAAGAUUGAUCUGAGGUCCAGGUAUCACCAGUUGCGAGUGUUGGAGGAGGAUGUUCCGAGGACAGCCUUCCGAACUCGUUACGGACACUACGAGUUCGUAGUGAUGCCAUUCGGAUUGACAAAUGCGCCCGCGGUAUUUAUGGACUUAAUGAGUCUGGUAUGUCGUCCUUACUUGGAUUAGUUCAUCAUCGUUUUCAUCGAUGACAUACUUAUCUACUCUCCAAGUAAGGAGGAACAUAGUGAUCAUCUGCGACAAGUCCUAGGAACCCUACGAACACAGAAACUCUAUGCAAAGUUCUCUAAAUGCGAAUUUUGGAUAUGAAGGGUCGAAUUUUAAGGACACGUGGUUAGUAAAGAAGGAAUCCACGUGGACCCUUCCAAAAUUAAGGCCAUUGAGAAUUGGUCAGCACCGAAGACGCCUACCGAAAUUGGACAAUUUCUAGGCCUCGCUGGCUACUACCGCAGAUUCAUACAGAACUUCUCGCGAAUUGCGAAGACUCUUAUGACAUUGACCCAGAAGGGUGUGUCCUUUGACUGGGAAAAGAAGUAAGAGAAAGCGUUCCAAACGCUGAAACGAGCUUAAUGCACCGCUCCGAUACUAUCCCUCCUAGAAGGAAUAAAAGACUUCAUAGUCUAUUGUGAUGCAUCUAAUCAAGGGCUCAGUUGUGUUCUAAUGCAACGAGGUAAGGUCACUGCCUACGCCUCAAGGCAACUGAAGACAUACGAGGUCAACUACAACACACACGAUCUUGAGUUGGGAGCAGUUGUGUUUGCUCUGAAGAUAUAGAGACACUACCUAUAUGGUAAAAAAAGCACUAUCUUUACAGACCACAAAAGCCUACAACACAUAUUCAACCAGAAGGAGCUCAAUAUGAGACAACGAUGGUGGGUUGAGCUACUCAAUGACUAUGGAUGUGAAAUUUGUUAUCACUCGGGUAAAGCCAAUGUAGUAGCAGAUGCCCUAAGCCGGAAAGAAUAUUCUGGUCGAAGAGUCAAGUCAUUGACUAUGACUAUCCAUUCUCAUCUGUCCACACAAAUUAAGGAGGCUCAGCUCAAAGCCUUGAAACCUGAAAAUGCGGCGGGUGAAUCCCUGUUAGGAAUGGAUAAGAACUUGGAAGUCAAGGGUGGCGAAGCUUUGUAUCUCAUGGACCGGAUCUGGACGCCGAAGCAUGGUGGAAUUAGAGACUUGGUCUUGACCGAGGCACAUAACACUCGAUAUUCCGUCCACCCGGGAUCAGAUAAAAUGUAUUUGGAUCUUAAACAGUUAUACUGGUGGCCUAACAUUAAAGCAGAGAUUGCUACCUUUGUAAGUAAAUGCCUUACUUGCGCUAAGGUCAAGGUCGAAUACCAGAAGCCCUCAGGGUUAUUACAACAACCAGAGAUACUGUAGUGGAAGUGGGAGCGGAUCAUAAUGGAUUUCAUAACCAAGUUGCCCAAGACAUCGGGUGGACUUGAUACCAUUUGGGUCAUCGUCGAUAGAUUGACCAAAUCCGCACACUUCCUGCCCAUCAAGGAAACUGACAAGAUGGAAAAGCUUACAAGAACUUACAUCAAGGAGAUCGUACAACUGCAUGGUGUUCCUAUAUCCAUUAUCUCCAAUAGAGAUAGUAGGUUCACUUCGAGGUUCUGGCAGUCGCUACAAAAUUCCCUAGGGGCGAGACUGGACAUGAGUACAGCCUACCACCCACAGACCGACGGACAAAGUGAGACAACUAUCCAAACACUAGAGGAUAUCUUACGAGCCUUGUGAUCGACUUGGGAGAGCAUGGGAUACUCAUUUUCCCCUUGUCGAGUUCUCCUACAACAACAAUUAUCACACGAGCAUAAAGGCUGCUCCAUUUGAAGCCCUCUAUGGCCGGAAGUGCAUAUCCCCUCUAUGUGCUGGGCUGAAGUGGGUGACACACAGUUAGCUAAAGGACGAGUUCCUGACAGCGCUCUCAUAGGUCCGAAGAUCAUUCGGUAAACGACAGAGAAGAUCGUUCAGAUUCAUGAACAAUUGAAAUGUUGUAUUAAUGUCUAAGGCCAUAACUAUAAUUGGUAAAACUUGACCCAACCCGGCAUGGUCCAUUUGGGUUGCAUGGCAUCGGGACAAUUGGAUAGACAAGAUGAGGAAAAAGGAUACUGGUGAUUUUAUAUUAAUAUAUUAUAAGAUCUAAUAUAUUAAUAUAUAAUCAUAUUAUUUAAUUAGUAUUGAUCAAGAAUUAAUUUAUAAUUAAUUAAGUGAUCAAAAGGAACUAAUUAAAUAUGGACUCUUAGAUAUAUAUGUGUGAUGGGCCAAGUUCAUUUAAGUUGGGCUAAGCUUUCAUGGAUAGUCCAUGGAGUGUUUAACCCAUGGAUCAUANNNNNNNNNNNNNNNNNNNNNNNNNNNNNNNNNNNNNNNNNNNNNNNNNNNNNNNNNNNNNNNNNNNNNNNNNNNNNNNNNNNNNNNNNNNNNNNNNNNNNNNNNNNNNNNNNNNNNNNNNNNNNNNNNNNNNNNNNNNNNNNNNNNNNNNNNNNNNNNNNNNNNNNNNNNNNNNNNNNNNNNNNNNNNNNNNNNNNNNNNNNNNNNNNNNNNNNNNNNNNNNNNNNNNNNNNNNNNNNNNNNNNNNNNNNNNNNNNNNNNNNNNNNNNNNNNNNNNNNNNNNNNNNNNNNNNNNNNNNNNNNNNNNNNNNNNNNNNNNNNNNNNNNNNNNNNNNNNNNNNNNNNNNNNNNNNNNNNNNNNNNNNNNNNNNNNNNNNNNNNNNNNNNNNNNNNNNNNNNNNNNNNNNNNNNNNNNNNNNNNNNNNNNNNNNNNNNNNNNNNNNNNNNNNNNNNNNNNNNNNNNNNNNNNNNNNNNNNNNNNNNNNNNNNNNNNNNNNNNNNNNNNNNNNNNNNNNNNNNNNNNNNNNNNNNNNNNNNNNNNNNNNNNNNNNNNNNNNNNNNNNNNNNNNNNNNNNNNNNNNNNNNNNNNNNNNNNNNNNNNNNNNNNNNNNNNNNNNNNNNNNNNNNNNNNNNNNNNNNNNNNNNNNNNNNNNNNNNNNNNNNNNNNNNNNNNNNNNNNNNNNNNNNNNNNNNNNNNNNNNNNNNNNNNNNNNNNNNNNNNNNNNNNNNNNNNNNNNNNNNNNNNNNNNNNNNNNNNNNNNNNNNNNNNNNNNNNNNNNNNNNNNNNNNNNNNNNNNNNNNNNNNNNNNNNNNNNNNNNNNNNNNNNNNNNNNNNNNNNNNNNNNNNNNNNNNNNNNNNNNNNNNNNNNNNNNNNNNNNNNNNNNNNNNNNNNNNNNNNNNNNNNNNNNNNNNNNNNNNNNNNNNNNNNNNNNNNNNNNNNNNNNNNNNNNNNNNNNNNNNNNNNNNNNNNNNNNNNNNNNNNNNNNNNNNNNNNNNNNNNNNNNNUGCCUAUAAAAUGGCAGUUUAAUGGGUGUUCACUCUCACCCACCGCUUCCUUGACCGGUGGAGGGUCAUUAGCCGAACAGGUAGGACAAGGACUAUAAUUCUCCCUUCAUUAAAAGUAUUAAUGAUAAAUAUAAAGUAACUAAAUGUUUUUUAUCAUUCCCAAUCUUAGUUUCUUUAGGAAAAUGUGAAUAAGAUGCUAAUCCAUGAAAUUACAAUUUGCAUUUUGUUUAAGUCGGUUAGUGGAGCGUGUGUGGUUAACCAACACACUAACUCGUAUUUAACAAGGUAGGCAAAGGGUNNNNNNNNNNNNNNNNNNNNNNNNNNNNNNNNNNNNNNNNNNNNNNNNNNNNNNNNNNNNNNNNNNNNNNNNNNNNNNNNNNNNNNNNNNNNNNNNNNNNNNNNNNNNNNNNNNNNNNNNNNNNNNNNNNNNNNNNNNNNNNNNNNNNNNNNNNNNNNNNNNNNNNNNNNNNNNNNNNNNNNNNNNNNNNNNNNNNNNNNNNNNNNNNNNNNNNNNNNNNNNNNNNNNNNNNNNNNNNNNNNNNNNNNNNNNNNNNNNNNNNNNNNNNNNNNNNNNNNNNNNNNNNNNNNNNNNNNNNNNNNNNNNNNNNNNNNNNNNNNNNNNNNNNNNNNNNNNNNNNNNNNNNNNNNNNNNNNNNNNNNNNNNNNNNNNNNNNNNNNNNNNNNNNNNNNNNNNNNNNNNNNNNNNNNNNNNNNNNNNNNNNNNNNNNNNNNNNNNNNNNNNNNNNNNNNNNNNNNNNNNNNNNNNNNNNNNNNNNNNNNNNNNNNNNNNNNNNNNNNNNNNNNNNNNNNNNNNNNNNNNNNNNNNNNNNNNNNNNNNNNNNNNNNNNNNNNNNNNNNNNNNNNNNNNNNNNNNNNNNNNNNNNNNNNNNNNNNNNNNNNNNNNNNNNNNNNNNNNNNNNNNNNNNNNNNNNNNNNNNNNNNNNNNNNNNNNNNNNNNNNNNNNNNNNNNNNNNNNNNNNNNNNNNNNNNNNNNNNNNNNNNNNNNNNNNNNNNNNNNNNNNNNNNNNNNNNNNNNNNNNNNNNNNNNNNNNNNNNNNNNNNNNNNNNNNNNNNNNNNNNNNNNNNNNNNNNNNNNNNNNNNNNNNNNNNNNNNNNNNNNNNNNNNNNNNNNNNNNNNNNNNNNNNNNNNNNNNNNNNNNNNNNNNNNNNNNNNNNNNNNNNNNNNNNNNNNNNNNNGGGCAUUGGUUGCGAAGCUGCCAAAUUUACCUAAGGAUGUUAAAGUCAAUAAGUUUGACUCUACUUCAGGUAAAGUCCACUAUCUAACUCUGUUAAGUUUCUAUUCUGAGAUUCUUGAUACAUGAUGUGACUGGGUCACAUGUUGAUGUUUUAAGAAUCAAAGAAAAGUGAAGAAACUUAAAGAAAGAAUAUGCUGAAUCUGAUCGCGUAGAUUGAUUUCUAUCGCAUAGUUUGAAGAUCGAAUUCUUGAGCUACUUCUUAGGAGUUAUGAUAUAUUGCUUAGGAACAGAUAACAACAUAGUUUUCAUGCUCUUUUGCAUUGUAAGGAUAGUUUUUCCGCAAAGUUUUUAAAAUAAAAGGAAAAAAUGAUGAUUUUAUUUAUUUUAAAAUAUCCUUACAAUGGCAUUUGUGGAAAAAAAAUUGUUGCUUAUAUGAUUCCAUUAAUAGCAAGAGUGGAAAUAUGAAAUUGAUUCUUUCAUUUGUGGUAAUGUCUAAAUUUACCAAAUAAAGAAAGAUCCUCAUCACCCAAGUUUCAUUUGUACUGAAACAUGGAAUCAUUCAAGUUGUACAACAUGAUGAAUGAGAAUUUUUCAUCUUUGGAAAAUUAAGACUAGUUCCUUGUUCACAUGUAUAUGUGAAGUCAAGUGAAGUACUAAGGGAUUGAGUACACAUUCUUGAGCAUUGGUCAAGUCCACCACAAAAUAUCGAUAAGAUUAUUCGUCAUAAUUUACUAAAGCUCAGUAAAUAUGGUUACACUUACAAGCUUAAGUGUAAUUCUGAGACAUUGGAAAAGGUUCCAAUGUAUGGCAGAGCGAAUAAGAAGAAUCAAAUAAGGCAGAAGGAUAAAAGUUUCUCAAAUCUGAAAAGAUGGGAGAGUACUUUAGUAUCAUGUCAUAUGAUCAUCUUGACAAUUAAGAGACCUUAUCACAAUUCAUUCUCUAAGUGCAUUCUGAUAGCUAAGAAGAGGAGCUAUGAAUUGUUGAAGUGGUCAAAUCAAGAAGAUGAGUCAUACUUCGUUUCAAAACAAGUCUUAGAGUCAUACUCCAAGACUGUAAGUUAAGUGAUAUAUCUUAAAGAAAGGUUUCAAACACCUGUCAAAUGUAAGAGUAAAAGUGUCCUACUCUUGUACAUUUGAAAUUGGUAAGUUGUGAUGUUUUCGAUAGAACAAAGACCAACUUAGGCCAAUUGUGUGAAGUGUUUGUCUUAAUAAAGAAUCCGCAUUAUCUCUUGAAUAUUUUGCAAGAUAGUCUUAUAUGUCAAGAGGACAGUGGGAGUCUUAAAGAUCCUGGAAAAAAAAUUCAAGAUCUAAUCAAGAAUAAAAAACAUGUAGUUUAACACUAGCACACGACGUAAGGUUUAUAACCUAUCAUGUUGACAUAUUUCUAUUUUUGUGCCCAUUCCUUUUAAAGUUGGCUUUGCAAUGAGUUGUUAGAAUUCUCAAUUGGUUACAUAUCAACUUGGAAGCAAUGGCAGGCCCUUGAGCUGCCAGGUGGCAAGAAUUUAAGAUUGCACAAGUUCAGUCCAUUUGAAUUUGGAAUUGUCGCUAAUCUUGUCUUGUGAUAAUGGUUUUGACAAAAAUUCAUAUCGAAAGGAACACAUAUACCAUAAAAUCUAAGGGUCAUAAGGUUUCUCUCCGAUUCAUGAAAAUGAUUGUGAGGAAACAUUUCCACCAAGUAGAUUUGAAGCAGAUAGCAAAGGUCUAAACAAUUGAGACUAUGAUUACGGCAUCCCUUUUCAUAGUUCUGAAAUUGUUUAGACACAUGUGUGUGCUAUCUAAGAUAAUGUGUAUGAUUUUUGAGUACAUGUCAGAGCUAGUGGGAGCAUAAGUGUUAUGCUAAUAAUCAUCAUGUUCGUGGGAGCAUGAUAAUUAUGAUAAGUAUUUCAUGUUAGCAAUGUUAUUUAUAGAAAACAAAAGUUUCAUUUCGUGAGGCUGCAGGGGUUGAAAAAGAUGUUUUGCUAUAAUUAAGGGAGAGGAAAUUAUACUUCAUUUCAAUUCUAAAAGCUUAGAUUUAGAUUUUAAUCAAAUUUAGUCAAGAAUAUAUAUGAAUUUCAUGUUGGAAUGUCUCAACAUAAGGAAAUUCUAUAUAUGGGUUCAUUAUUUGCGUUCUAAAAUUCGAUUAUGAUUACGGCAUCCCUUUUCAUAAUCUAAAUUAUGAGAACUUGGCAAACAGAAAUGGAAAUAUUAUAGCAAAAGACUGGUUUAGUCUUUAUGUGAGACAUCAUGAAUCGUGUCCCAUAUGCUUCGGAUAUAGGAUCGAUUACAUGUGUUAUAUUCAUCAUUUCUAAAAUCUUCCAAAUGCAUGGGGCAUUAGGAAGGGAAAAGGUCUAGAAUUGGAUAUGACUAAAAGCAUUAAGCAAUUGUUGAGGAUAAUCUAAGGUUUACCAAAGAUUGAUUUCUCAUGACAGUUGGAAGUAUAGUGUUAAUUGUUGGAAGGACCAUAUUGACAUAUUCUAAAAAGAGGCAACUCUUGUUCAGAAGUGAUAGUCAAAAGGGGAAUAUGGAAAUGAUCCCAUAGGUGGAAGUUGUUCAAUAAAUCUGUGUGAGAUUAGGAAACUUAAUACAAGAAGGAUGUUUCCAAGGAGUUGAUCUCCUUUCGAAUGCUCUAUAAUGUUUGUUGUCAAGUCUUUAUGAAUUUGUGCAUAAUCUUUACAAGAGGAUCAAUGCAUAUAAGUUUAGAAUCUAACAAAUUUUAGUGAAUGGCAUGAAUUUGGAAUUUUUGCAUUUGUAGUAAGGAAUUGGGAGUGUGAAAUGAGAAUCAUUGGAAUGAUGUUCAAUCAAUAUCUUUCACAAAGUAAAGAUCAUAGACAAACAUAGAGUGCAGACUUGGUGUAUGGUAAAGCUAUUGUUUAAAAAAUAAAAACAUAGUGUACAUGCUUGGAGCAUGGGACAACUAGUGUUUUUAAUUCAAGUAUAAAGUUGAUAAAAGUGAAACAAUGAAUAAUUAGUAAUCAGUAUGGUGAUAAAUAAAAGGUGUUUUAUUUAUAUUCAUAGGUUUGAUACCAUAUUAGAUUUAGUUAUUCUUGUGUUUCAUUUUGCAUGUUUUGACUUCCAGAAUAACUAGGUCGUUCUUCCUGAUUGAUAAAGUUAUUCAAACCAUCCACAGUCAGUCAUAUGUUGGAAGUACAUAUGAAUCAAGAUUGUCAUGGGUUGGCUUGUAGAGGUCUAAGUUGUUGGACAAAUUGGUGCUACAACACUCAUGAGUGCUUAUAAGUUCUGAGUAUUGGAUUCAACCCACGCUCAUUUGAAUCACUUCAUGGAUUUUAUCACGAGUGAUAACGAGACGAUAAUAUCUUAUAUUCUUCAAACCUAGAGAUAUGAGUUGUUACUAUGAGUUGGUUGUACAUUGAUUGCACGAAACCGCAUUGGUAACUCGAUGUUAUAAAACGUACCUUUGUGUAUGAUUCAGCAAGUAGUAGAACAAGCCAUAUGAGUCGAAGUUUAUCCAUUCCUUUUACCUUCAGGANAUAUCUGUGGGCCUCUCGAUGAUUUAAUAAUGAUACAUGUGAGUGCUUCGCCAAGCCAGGACUGAUUUGAUUUGUUCAAUCAGUCAGUCAUUAUAAAUCGGAAAUCAGGAAACAACAAAUGGACAGAGAGAAUGAUUAAUAAUCCAUGUCUCAGUCCAUAUGAUAUCUAGAAUGGAGGAAUAUAUGAUCACUUAUCUAAUGGACAAGUCAUUAACAAAGGUCAGAGAUCAUCAGCAAGGUCAGAGUUCGACGAAAGAUUUUGAGAGCUACGAUAGCCAAUCGGUUCUUGAAGUCAUACGCAAUAAUAGUGUUACACGUAUCUAAGUGGGAGACUAUUGGAUUAAUGUCUAAGUCCAUAACUAUAAUUGGUAAGACUUGACCCGACCCGACAUGGUCCAUUUGGGUUGCAUGGCAUCGGGACAAUUGGAUAGACAAGAUGAGGAAAAAGGAUACUGAUGAUUUUAUAUUAAUAUAUUAUAAGUUAUAAUAUAUUAAUAUAUAAUCAUAUUAUUUAAUUAGUAUUGAUAAAGAAUUAAUUUAUAAUUAAUUAAGUGAUCAAUAGGAACUAAUUAAAUAUGGACUCUUAGAUAUAUAUGUGUGAUGGGCCAAGUUCAUUUAAGUUGGGCUAAGCUUUCAUGGAUAGUCCUUGGAGUGUUUAAUCCAUGGAUCAUAAGAAAUGAAAUGUCAUGGGUAUUAGGGUUUAAACCUAAUCUCCACACUAUAUAAAGAGGUCCUUGGUUGGUGAAAUUGGCACAAGUGUGGGUACACUAAGAAGGGCUAGCCGAUUUCACUAGAGAGAACCAAAGUAUCCUUAUUCUCAAGGUUAUUCCAAGUGUUCAUGGUGUUGUGUGAACCAUUUGAGGUGUCACACUUGGGGCACUAGGCACUCAAGGUUCAUGAAGACAAGUUACAUAAAAAAGGUAUGUAUUCUAUCAAUUUUAUUACCCAAGUGUAUGAUAUUUGUAUGCUAGUAUAGGGUAAUAUCUUGGAAACUUCACACUUGCAUGUAUAAUAGAGAAAACAUAGAUCCAAGGUAUUUAGGGUUGUAUGUGCACCAUAGGAUGUUGUAGUAUACUAAAACCCAACAUGAAAGCCUCUAGAGACCAACAAAAAAGCUACACAGACAAACGAAGAAAACCUUUGGAAUUUCAGGUAAGAGACCGCGUUAUUUUGAAAAUCUCACCCUGGAAGGGCUUGAUACGCUUCAGAAAGUGUGGAAAGCUAAAUCCAAGAUACGUAGGGCCUUUCGAUAUUCUCGCUAGAAUCGGCCCUAUAGCUUACAAACUCAACCUACCCCGCUAACUCAGUAACAUACAUUCUACAUUCCACGUCUCGAACUUGAAAAAGUGUCUGUCCGACGAGACUCUUGUAAUCCCACUCGACGAGAUCGAGAUCAAAGAGAGCCUUAACUUCAUGGAAGAACCUGUAGAGAUCAUGGACCGUGAGGUCAAGCAGAUGAAGCAAAGCCGCAUCCCGAUAGUGAAGGUUCGCUUGAACGCCAAUCGAGCUCCAGAAUUCACUUGGGAACGCGAGGAUCAAAUGAAAUUGAAAUAUCCUCAUCUUUUCAAUUAGUUAAUUGUAACUACUUAAUUACUUAAACUCUAAUUUCGGGAUGAAAUUCUCUCUAACGGGGGGAUGAUGUGACAACCCGAAAUAUCUAUCUUGUACAAUAGACCAAUGUAAUCAAAGUUAGACUCGUUUUGCUAUAUUUUAACACAGUUUAAGGUCUAUUUGAGUGUUCUAUACUUAGUACAACUAAUAUAGGAUCCUAGAAAUGGGAUAACACGAUGCAUAUCAAGCAAAACCGGGCCAAACAAUCCAACAACUGGAGUGUGCGGCCACACACAGGUGUGUGCGGACGCACACCCAUCCCAACCACACUCUCUUGCCUAUAUAUGCCACCCUUAGUCAUUUUUUUAACACUUUUUCCACUUCUUCAAAGCUGGAACUCGUUUUCUCUCAAGUAUCAUCCACAUUUCUCUUCAAAUCUUUAAAUCAAGUAAGUGUUGCUUCCUUGAUUCAUUAAUACAUGACCUUGACUAGCUUUCCCUUUGCUUUGAUCCAUGAAAACAUCCAUUCUUGGCCAAGAACACCAAGAACAUAUACUAAACUUUUUGGAGUUUAACCAUAUUUCUAAGCCUCUAAAUCGUGCAUACACUUAUCAUAGCUUGUUAUAUGCCAAGAACGCUUGAAGAUAUGCAGGAAUAACGUCAUUUCUCAUAAUCUCCAGGAGUGUACAGCCGCACACACCAUGCUCAACCAUACACACCCUUUUUAAGUCCUAAAAUGGCAAUGAAGUCCAUAUAAGGCUAGAGCAUGAAGUAAGAAACCUUCCUAGAUGAGUCCUAAGGCCUUAAAAUAUGUUUUAACACACUUCAUGGGGAGUGUGCAGCCGCACACACACCAUGGCCGCACACACACACACACAAAUGGUGUAUUUUGACUAUACACUCCAUUGUAUAGCCAUAUACCCCUUAUAUACAAUCAUAUAUGGUUGUAACACUUCAAUAUAAGUGUUUACUAGUCCCUAAGGUGGUCCCAAUUCAAUAAUUAGUUGUUACCAACACUAAUUGUAUACAUACAUAUGUCAUUAUAUGGUUGAUAGGAUUCGUUUGUGCUUAAGUCCGCAAUUGAAACUCAACUUCCUAAACCGAUCUUACAGUCGCAUCACUCACUACAGGUGAGUUCAUAUCCCUUAAUCAACCUUUUAAAUGUUUUUAAAUGCUUAUAUGGGGGGAUACAAGUUAAAUCACUAUAGUUAUAAUAUUAAUCACAUGUGAUUUAUAACUAUCAAACAAAUGGAUUUACUAUACUUCUAACUGUUUUGUCAACAAAACUACUUCAAAAUGAUUAUCAAACCCUUUUACAUGUUAAACUCAUUAUAAAACUUGCUCUUAAUUACCAAACCAUUACUUUCAAUUUUGUACACUUAUAUAUUGUCAAAACCAUUCCCAGUACAUAUAUAGUUAUAUAAAUAUGGUUCGAAGGACUUAGGACUGAUAACUCGCUUUAAUUCAUGUUCCUUGUUUGGUUGUGGAGUUAGUGUACUCUAUGGUUUGUCCGAGUGUCGUUUGAUCCUUAGUUAUAUAUUAUGUAUAUAUGUAUGGAUAUAAAGGUUUUACUUCAGUUCCAACACCUUUGGAUAGCAAAGGUGUAUAAGCUUUCUAAGUCGUUCAAACAACAGUUCUAGUAAACUAUAAUAGGUAUAGUUUAGGGAUAUACUACUUACUAAUUUCUAGUACAAUGAAACAUAUAAAGAGUCAGUUCAUACAUGAGUCGAUAUAUACUAUACACUAUACAGAGAGAACAUACACUAGUACAUACAAUUCAUACACACUAUAUACUAUGCAGAAGAACAUACUAUGAUGAGAAUCAGAGAGGACAUUCACUACACUACCACAUACAAUACAUCUACACUAUAACAUAAAUGUGAGGCACUACUUCGGGGCAUGCCAUCUCUGUCAUGGCUCGUCUUGUAACCAGAGUCUUCUGAAGGGAGAGCAUGAAUUUGUGUAUAGAUCUAUACUGGACUGACCGUCCUACAACUUGCUGCUAGCUACAGUGGGACCUGCAGGUCUUCGGGUGAUGAAAGUCAUACCAUCUCGACAUCUUCGAGCGUCGUGUUUUACUAGGUCGAUCAAAUAUGGUUACAAAUUAUAUCACAUUAUACCUUAAUUAACAAUUGGUUUAAGGUGGUUAGUACAGCGGUAGUUACUAUAACAUAAAACUACAGUACUUCAUUAUUUCCCCAUUACAUUUAUUUGCGAUCUUCACAUAAACAAUAAUGUACAAACUAUAUUUUAUUAAUGAUAGUCACAUUUGGGAGGAAUACUCACUCUUACAAUGAACAAACACACAGCCCACUUGAUGCCUUGGUAGAAGGCUACUUUUAGUAGAAAAUAUAUGAUUUUCGAAGAGAUACAAACAAUUACUACAAACAUUUACAAACUCAUAGAUUCAAAUUCAUACAAACAUUUACAUACAAACAAAGACACUAAAAUGCUUAUGAACUCACCAGCUUUAAAGCUAAUAAACUCUUUCAAAAUAACUUGUAUUCUCAGGUCGUCAGUAGAUAGGUACCGAGGCCAACCUUUGAGAAGAUGGAUCACUUUCAAGACUCAUCUUUUAUUUUGUUUCAUUAUUUUUGGUGUCUUAUAUCCUGUACAUAACACACUUAUAUUAAAAUAUAUUAUUAAUACAAUGGAUGAUGUUGUUUGCUUGUUUACUAUAUUUCUGUGUUGUGAUAGUGUACGUGACGUCCUCCGCCCCAGAAUGUUUCCGCCGUUCCGGUUUUGGGGCGUGACAGAUUGGUAUCAGAGCAUUGUUUAUAGUGAAUUGAGUAUAUCGACCCAUAAAAGAUAUAUUAACUAUAAACACAAUGGUAUUAAAAUACUUUAACCAAGAGUUUAUCCUCUUAAAUAAUAAAAUAUUUAACUAAGUAUACAAACCUGGAUUCAUACUAAAAUCAAUGUCACUAGAGAAAGGCUAACUGUCUCCAAACUGACCUAGCGGUCUCACAGAACCCACCCAUCCAUGAAACUUCCAGCAACCCUGAAACACUAGUGUAUGCUAGCCAUACAUAACACUGGACUUCGUAGACUUUCGAAUAUCCGAUCCUACCCUAAGCUCCCAAUCAAACAAGAACAGAACAUAAGGCCAAUCAAACAUUCUCAGGCUAUAAAAUCUUAAUUAUGUAUAACCGUUAUGCAUACACUAAGCAACUAUAGUAAUGAUGUCAAUCUCAUGUAAAGGGAACCCUUGGCUAGCAGGCAUCAUGUAAUCAGGCAAUUCUGUCAUGCAAUUCCUGAAGAUCCCUAGCCUAGCACUAGCAUGUUGUUCUAACAUAUCACAUAAUCAAAUAAUUGUAUGGUAUUUUGGGGUCUACUUACUGGCUCCGGCUGAUCGUACACCCUGCAUCCUCCUUUACUUAUUUUGAAAACCACUUUAGAAAUCAUUUUGAAAACCUUUACUUGAUUUGAGACUAGAUUCACAUGAGUGUUCCUCCAAUUCAAUCAAACCAAAUCUCUAAUACCAACUUGUAACAUCCAUAAAAAUCAAAUUUAAACUUUUUAAAACAUUUAGAAACCAACAGUUAUUACCAAUUUGUUUUAAAGACAAUUCUAUAUCAGAGUAUCCCAAAAACAUAGUCAGAAAAGGUGAGGAGCUGUACAAGCAUGUCUUUGCCUUCCUGCGAUCAUCUAAUGUACCUGAAACAAUAAACUGAAACUGUAAGCCUGAGGCUUAGUGAGUUACCCCCAAAAUACCGAUACACAUACAAUCCACUUAACAGUAUCAGCAAUAUCAUAACAUAACAAACUGAACAAAACAGCACGUAAAGGGUCCACAACUUCAUAGACUGGAAUACCCAUGGGCCCACAGUGUGAGUCUGGAAUGCCUACAAGGCCCUCAACUAACAUUAGGAUUGCCAUUGAGCCCUCACUACGAGUCUGGAAUGCCUACCGGGCCCUCAGCUCGUAUCUGGAAUGCUCCCGAGUCCUCAGUAUGAGUUUCGAAUGCCUAUCGGGCCCUCAGCUCAUAUCUGGAAUACUCUAGGGUUUGUUGGCUACCGCACGGAGCAGUACCCCCUCAACCCAUCCCAUAUAACAUGUCGACAUGUAACAGAUAAAUGCAUAAACAGGUAAUCAAUCAGUAUCACAGGUAGUACUGUAGAUCUACCAAACUAGCAUAUCAACUGGCAUACAUCACUAACUCAACUCGACAUUGUUGGAUAAGUGUCUAAGGCUGUAACUAUAUCUGGUAAGUACUUGACCCGAUUGUGCAUGGUCCUUUUGGGUUGCCUUCACCAUAGCAACUUGAUAGGGUGAUUUAGAGAGAAUAGAUAUUAUUAUUAAUGUAUUAUAAGAAUAAUAUGUUAAAAGAAUAAUAAUAUUAUUUGAUUAAUAUAAGUCAUAAGUUAAUUAGGAAUUAAUUUGGUGACUUAAAGAGAUUAAUUGAAUAAAGGGGCAUAAACUGUCAAAUGUGUGAAAGUUGUAUUUUGAGCUAAUAACCCUUAUGGAUAUGGGUUGGACGAUUUUAGGGAUGUGGAUCACCUAGAAAUCAUCCAAGGCCUUAUCUAGAAGAGGAUUUGGAUUGCUUUGAGGCUAAGUUAUCCAAUUAGGGUUUUAGGGUGAAACCCUAGGAGCUCACAGUAUAAAUAGACCCAUAGGGUUGAGGAAAUCGGCCAACCUUGUGAGUGGAGUAACCCUAGAGCCGAUUUCCCUCUUCCUCAUCUCUCUCAAAUCAUCUUCUUGCUAGUUGGUGUUUGUAAGCCAUUAGAGGAGUGACAUUUGUGACUCUACGCUCCAAGAAGAAGAAGGUUUUCAAGCUAGUAAUUCAAGGUAUUAUUCUAGAUCUGUUUUCAUAUGUUUUAAUUGCUAGUUUAUAUUAGAUCUAGCCAUGAAAGUCUUUUAUAUGUUGCAUGUUCAAUUAGUGAAACCUAGAUCCAAGCUAUAGGGUUGUAUGUGCACAUAGGGAAAAUUCUUAUGUCCAAAACCCAUCAAUGGUAUCAGUGCCAUGAUUGGUUUCAAUUGAAUUUGAUGCUUAACUGUUUUGCAUGCUGAAAAUCGUUUUUCUUGCCCUCUGUCGACCCAACUCGGCGAGUUGGCCCUACUUGGCGAGUCCAAAGCUUGACUCAGCGAGUCCAAGCGUCAGACAGAGGAUAAUUCGGGAUUUUGAUGUUGUUUUGUCUUGGAUUGAUACCUAAAUCGUUUUAUUAUGUAAAAAUCCGAAUUUUAACUUAAUUUAAUGAUUAUCCUUGACAUAAAUAUAGAUAAUUUCAAAUCUUUUAAAUAUUGAUUAUUUAUAUGUUAAAUAUUGGACUAUUUAAGAUUAUUUGGUAAUUAUCUAAUGACAAAAAUUUAAUUAGGUCAAAUAUAGAUAAUUAUGAAAUUAAUUGUUUAAUUUGAAUUAUUUGUUAUUUGAUCCCUAUUGUUUUGAAAAGUUCAAUUUUAUCCCGAAGUUUUGAAAUUUGAAUUUCGUGAUUAAUAGUUUAAUUUAGAAGAAUUUAAAUUUCAACCCCUAGAGUUUUACAAGUUUAAAAUUCAACCCUAUACUAUUAUAUUAUUAAAAGUUUAAUAAAUAUAUAAGUAAAAUUAAAAUGCUAGUCUUACCGUUAGUAGGCCUCAUUCACGAAGCCGGUCUAUAAGGUGGGUAUAAGGUUGCUGCCUAUAAAAUGGCGCUUAAUGGGUGUACACUCACACCCACCGCUUGCUUGACUGGUGGAGGGUCGUUAGCCGAACAGGUAGGAUAGGGCAACUUUCUCUCCUCAUUAAUAAGUAUAAUGAACAUAUAAAGUAACUAAACUAUGUUAUAAAAUUCCCAAUCUUAGUUACUUUAGGAAAAGUGAAAUUGAUGCAAUCCCAUGAAAUUGCACUUUGCACCCUUGCUAAGAAGUUAGUGGAGCGUGUGUGGUUUACCGGCACACUAAUUGGUUCUAAGCAAAGGUGGCAGAGGGUGAUUCAUUGUUUAUCAUAGUUCGAUGGAGCGUGUGUGGUUUACCGGCACAUCGAAUAGAUGAUUGUAACAAUGAAGGCACCAUGUAGAUUUGCAUGGUAAUUCAUACCCGCUUUGUGAUCCUCGGUAUCCCAGUCACAAACUAGAGCGGCAUAUCUGAUGGUUUUUGGCCAUAAGAACAUCCUAUGUGCUCAUACAAACCCUAAUGCUUGGAUCUAGGUUUCUCUAUUGUACAUGCAUUUUAUCCAAGACUUUAAACCCUAGUUCUAGCAUUCAAGUAAUCAUAUUAACAUAAGAAAUAGGUUUAGAUUUUACCUUGAUUGUUAUGUAGCAAUAACAAUCACAAAUCCUCCUUGUAAUGACUUUAGAAAGCUUAGAGUCACAAAUGUCACUCCUCUAAUGGUUCACAAACACCAAGAGCAAGAGGAUGAAGAACAAGGAGAGAGAAGGUUGCCCAAAACGUGUACAAACCCUAAAAGGAGUCUUCACCACGUUUUUGGGGCUUAAGGGCACUUUAUAUACAUGUAGGCUAUUAGGAUUUUGAACUAGGAAACCCUAAACUAACUGCUUAAGCCCUAAGCAGCCCAUGGACCCUUCUUUAAUAAGCCUUGCACGAUUUCUAAUGGGUUUCCGCAUAGAAUUCAUCCGACCUUAUAUUAUAAGGUGAUCCAUAGCCCAAUUGCAAUUAUCUUAUAAUUACAAUUCCAGUCAUUUAAGUUUAAUUAAUCUCUUUUAGCCACAAAAUUAAUUACCAAUUAAUUAUUGACUAAUAUUAAUUAAACAAUAUGAUUUCUCCUUUAAUAUAUUAUUCUCAUAAUAUAUUAAUAAAUCAUAAUUAAUCCUUUCUCUCCAUAAUUCAUCCUAUCAAGUUGCUUUGGUGAAGGCAACCCAAAAGGACCAUGCACCAUCGGGUCAAGUACAUACCAAAAUAGUUAUGGACUUAGACACUAAUCCAACAGUCUCCCACUUGGAUAAGUCUAAUAACUAUUNUCUAGGAAUUCUCAAUAAAACUUAAGGUUAUGUUUUCAAGGUGAAGAAUUAGUGAAUCAUCAUUCACUUACCUCCAAAUUGUUUGCAUGUUGGAUUACGGCAUCCCUUUUCUAAUAUGUAAAUAAUGUUGUUGGGUCCUAGCCCUAAUUUUUCAUUUUGGGUGUUUAAUUAGGGAUACAAUUCUAAUUUUUCAAUGGUACGAACUUUAGCGAAUGGAUAAGAUACAUUCAAACCAUUGCACACUACGAGAAUAAAGAGUAUGUCCUCGACGAAAAGCUCGAGAAGGUCAACCCGGAAAUUACUACUCCCGAAGAGAUGGUUGUCUUUGAGACACACGAACGUGAUGCAACGAAAGUCCAUUGCAUCAUUAUAGCCACUAUGAACCAAGAAUUCCAAAAGUCCNUCAUGAUAGCCACUAUGAACCAAGAAUUCCAAAAGUCCUAUGAGGACAUGUAUCCGUAUGAAAUGCAUCAAGACUUGAUGGAGAGGUACCACCAAAGCGCGAGGCAGGAGAGCUACGAGAUCAUCACUAACAUGAUCACCGCUAAGAUGGGAAAUGGAGAAACGUUGACUGUGCACUUGCAAAAGAUGUAACGAUAUGUUGAUCGUCUUCACAAGUUAAAUGUUAACUUUGGGGAGGAUUUCGCCAUGGACAUUGUUCUUCAUUCCUUGCCUUCAUGCUACAACCAAUUUAGGAUGACCUACCACAUGAACAAGGAAGAGGUCACCCUAAGAAAACUCCAAGGACUCCUAAGGACUACUGAGAGCAUCCUAAAGGACAAGUUUGUUGCACCAACUCCCGCACCAACCGUUGCUCUUGUUUUGGAUAUAGGGCAGGGAAGGGGCAAGAAGAGGAAGGCUCCAUCAAAGAGCCACCGCAAGGGAAAGUCCCAAGAUGGUUCAUCUUCUAGUGGGACCAAAGUUGAUCCCGCUAAGCCCAACCCUAACCCGAAGGAGGCAGAGUGCCAUCAUUUCCACAAAAUAGGACAUUGGAAGAGAAGCUGCCCGGAAUAUCUGCAAGCCAUCAAGGAUGGAAAGAUCAAGCCAUCCUUUGCAGGUAUAUACACAAUUGAAUCUAGUAAUUCAUCUCACACUAUUUCUUGGGUUCUUGAUAUAGGAUGUGGUUACCACAUUUGUUCUGAUUUGCAGGGACUAAGAAGAAAUAGAGAUGUGGAGCAAGGAAGAAUAAAUCUAAUCAUGGGAAACAGAAGAUCACCGCCUGUCACCAAGAUUGGAAUGUAUUCUUUAGUGCUUAGUAAUAGAUUAGGUCUAGAUUUAAUUAAUUGUUGCUACUCACCAGAAAUGGCAAGAAACAUCAUUUCAUUUCAUGGUUUGUUUAGACAAGGAUUUAAAUAUUCAUUUAAUAAUAUGAAUGGUUCUAUUUAUGCUUAUCUAAAUGGUGUUUUAUACUUUGAAGCAAUGCCUUGUAAUGGAGUUUAUGAAACUGUUAUGGCUGUAGAUAACCUAGGAAAAUAUGUGUUGUGUAUAGAUUCUUCCACUAGUAUGGAUAAAGCAUCUUUGUGGCAUUAUCGUCUAGGACAUGUCAACAAGAAACGCAUAGCCCAACUCCAAAAGGAUGGAGUGUUGGAGUCAUUCGACCUUAGGGAAGAUGACACGUGUGAAUCUUGUUUACUUGGAAAGAUGACCAAGUCACCCUUCACUGGCACUUUUGAGAGGGGUGAGGGUUUAUUGGAUCUCAUAGAUACCGAUGUAUGUGGGCCCUUUAGAUCCACCACAAAGGAUGGAAACCGCUUCUACGUGACUUUCACCGAUGAUUAUAGUAGAUAUGGGUAUAUUUACUUAAUCAAGCACAAGUAUGAAACGUUUGAAAAGUUCAAAGAGUUCAAGAAUGAAGUGGAGAAUCAGUUGGGCAGGAAAAUCAAGAUGCUUCGAUCCGAUCGAGGAGGAGAGUACCUAAGUCUUGAAUUCCACGACUAUCUCAAGGAAUGCAGAAUAGUUUCGCAAUUGACGCCACCUAGGACACCGCAGUUGAAUGGUGUGGCAGAAAGGCAUAAUCGAACCUUGUUGGACAUGGUCCGUUCUAUGAUGAGUCGUGCUUCACUAGCUAUCUCAUUAUGGGGGUAUGCCUUGGAGACUGCCGCCCAUAUCCUUAAACGAGUCCCUACAAAGAAAGUUGCCAAAACACCUCACGAGAUGUGGACAGGGAAAGCUCCCUCGUUGGCACAUAUCAAGGUUUGGGGUUGUGAAGUUAUUGUAAGAGGAGAAACUCCCAACUCAUAACCGCCUCAAUCUUGGCCGGAUCGACCAAUAUCCCAUUCUGAUUAACGAGAUAUCCCAAGAAUUGGACCUCCCGUAACUAGAAAUCACAGUUGGAGAAUUUGGCAUAAAGUCUCUCCGAUCUCAACACUCCAAGGAUCUCUCUAAGAUGCUCCUCAUGCUGCUCUCUGGAUCUCGAAUAUACUAGGAUAUCAUCAAUGAACACAAUCACCGAACGAUCCAACAUCAGCCUGGACACCCGGUUCAUAAGAUCCAUGAACGCUGCCGGUGCAUUGGUGAGCCCAAAAGGCAUCACCACGAACUCGUAAUGCCCAUAACGAGUCCUAAACACCUCCUUUGGGAUAUCCUCAUCCCGCACCCUCAUCUGAUGAUAUCCCGACCUCAAGUCAAUCUUGGAGAACCAAGAUGUACCCUGCAACUGGUCGAACAGAUCGUCGAUCCUUGGUAACGGGUAACGGUUCUUGACCGUCAACUUGUUCAACUCCCAGUAAUCAAUACACAUCCUAUGUGAACCAUCGUUUUUCUUGACAAAAAGAAUCAGGACUCCCCACGGCGAGGUACAUGGACGAAUGAAUCCCUUCCCCAGCAGCUCCUGAAGCUGCGAGGAUAACUCCUGUAUCUCUGGUGGCACAAGGCGAUAGGGUGCCUUGGCAAUAGGCGCUGCUUCCAGAACCAAAUCAAUAUGAAACUCCAUCUGCCUCUCUGGAGGCACACCUGGCAACUCCUCGGGGAAAACAUCCGGGAACUAACUCACUAUCAGGACCUCAUCAAUAAAACUUGGCCUCUCUGUAGCAACUCGCGCAUCCAUCACAUAGGCUACAAACCAUCCACAGCCCUGCUGUAGACUCUGCCUCACUUUGGCGACUGACCAAAAUGCUGAUCCAGAUCGGGUACCCUCGCCAUACACCGUAAGUACUCCCCCACUAGGGUCUCGUAUGGUCACCAACUGACGCUCGCAGUCGAUAACAGCUCCAAGUUGGCUCAACCAGACCAUGCCCUCGGUACCAAAUCUAUCAGGAACUCAACACCGAAGAUCUCGAGCACACAUCCUCGAAUCACAUCAGGAGCAUACACUACUCGCUCGUCGUCUAUGGAAACUCGUAGAGGUCGACUCAACGCCUCUCGUCGGAUACUGAUGUGCUGACUAAACGCUACAUACAUGAAAGAUCGACUCACACCCAAGUCAAAAAGCACCAAAGCAGGCACAUAACUCACAAGAAAAGUACCUACACAUACCAUAAUAUAAGCACAAAAUCUCAACUCGGAAUAAUUAAAUGAAAGGAUACAUACCAGUCAUGACAUCAGGCAUUGCGCGAACCUCCUCCGUUGUCAACUGAAAAGCUCUCCCUCGAGCCUUCGGUGCCUCAGCCUUCACUGGCCGACCCUCAGUAGCUCGUGCAGCAGCAGGGGCAGAUCCAUGGGCUGAUCCCUGUAACAGCUGCGGGCACUCAGCCUUCCGAUGGUCCGUCUGAUUGCAAUGAAAGCAAACCGAAAAUCCCUUGGGGCAAUCCUUUGCAAAAUGCCCCUCCUUCCAACACUUGUAACACACCCCAGCUCUACACAUUCCCUCAUGGCUCUUGCCGUAUUUCCCACAAGUGAGGCCCUUCGGACCUCCAGAUCUCGAAUCAGCAGGCUUCGCCCACUUGGCUGCCGACUAAACCUGCAUCGGUUGUUUGUCCCUCCUCUGAGACUCGGCCUCCUCCCUGACCUGAGUCUCCAACUCAAUCUCCCUCUUCCGGGAAUUUGCCUAGAGCUUAGUAAAUGUCCGGUAUGACGAGUUCACCACGAACUCACGAAUGUCCCUCCUCAGAAUGCUCAAGUGUCGGCUCAUGCGUGCCUUCUCAGACGACACGUGCUCAGGGAAAAACAACGCCCUCUCGUGAAACAUCCGUGGGAUCACCGUCACGGACUCCGUCCCCUGCUUAAGGGACAAGAACUCCUGAUCCAACAGUUCCUUAUCCACCGAGGGAAUAUACUCAUCCCUGAACUUUUGGAUUAGUGUCUAAGACUAUAACUAUAUUUGGUAAAUACUUGACCCGGUUAUGCAUGGUCCUUUUGGGUUGCCUUCACCAUAGCAACUUGACAGGAUGAUUUGUUAAGAGAGAAGAAAUACUAUUGUAAAUAUAUUAUGAGAAUAAUAUAUUAAAGGAAUAAUAAUAUUAUUUGAUUAAUAUAAGUCAUAUAUUAAUUAAGAAUUAAUUUGGUGACUUAAAGAGGUUAAUUGAAUAAAGGGGCAUAAACUGUCAAAUGUGUGAUAGUUGUGUUUUUGGGCUAUGUAUCCUUAUGGGUAAUGGGGUCGACGAAAUUUAGAGUUAGGGAACCUUAAAUUCGUCCAAGCCUAGUAUCUAGGAGGAUCUUGGAUUGCUUAGGGCCUAAGUUAUUCAGUUAGGGUUAAAGGUGAAACCCUAGUAUCCCAUAGUAUAAAUAGACCCCUAGGGUGAGGGAAAUCGGCACUUAUCCAAGGAAAGGAACCCUAGGGCCGAUUUCUCACCCUUUCUCCUCUCUCUCAAUAUCAUCCUCUUGCUAGUUGGUGUUUGUAAGCAAUUAGAGGAGUGAUAAUUGUGACUCUAAGCUCUAAGGAGAAGAAGUAUCAAGCAAGUCAUCUAAAGUAUUGUUCUAGAUCCAAUUACAUAUGAUUUGAUUCAACUGUUUACAUUAGAUCUAGUAUUGUAAGUCUUGGAUUCAAUGCAUGUUCAAUUAGAGAAACCUAUAUCCAAGCAUUAGGGUUUGCAUGUGCCCAUAGGAAAGUUCUUAUGGCUCAAACCCCAUCAGUGGUAUCAGAGCCUUGAUUGAUUUCUAUUGAAUUGAUGCAUUGGUUAAUUGCUUGUUGCUUGUUAAAUUCGAUUUUUGGUCUUCUGCCUGAGGAACUCGGCGAGUUCCACUGUGGACUCGGCAAGUAGCUCCAACUCGGCAAGUCCAUAGUGGGUACUCGGCGAGUUCGAGCAUCAGAAAGUGGAAGUUACGGGAUUUCUUGUUGUUUUUCUUGAGGAAACUUGCCUUAACUGUUUUGGGUCAUUAAAAUCCGAUUUUAACCAUAUAUAUGAGUAUAUUAUUGACCAAACAAAAGAUAAUUACCAAUUAGUUGAAUAAUAAUUUCCUUAUGUGAUAAUAAUUGAUUAUUUGAAUUGAAUUGGUUAAUUAUUUUGCAAGUAAUAUUGAAUAAGAUCAAAUUGAGAUAAUUGUUGAUUUACAUUAUUUUCCUUUUGAUCCUUAUGUAUUGAAAAGUUUAAAACUUGUCCUCAAGUUUUGAAAUUUAAGUUUUGUGAUUAAAAGUUUAAUUUGAAUAAUUUAAAUUUCAAACCCUAGAAUUUUACAAGUUUAAAAUUCAACCCUAUACUAUUAUAUGAUUACAAGCUUAAUAUAUAUACGUAUGAGUAAAACUAUGCUAGUCUUACCGUUAGUAGGCCUCAUUCACGAAGCCGUUCUGUGAGGUGGGUAUAACGAUGUUGCCUAUAAAAUAGCGCUUAAUGGGUGUACACUCACACCCACCGCUUUCUUGAUCGGUGGAGGGUCGUUAGCCGAAUGGGUAGGAUAGGGCAACUCUCUCUCCUCAUUAAUAAAUAUAAUGAAUCUAUAAAAUAACUAAACUAUUUUAUAAAAUUCCCAAUCUUAGUUACUUUAGGAAAAGUGAAUUGAUGCAAUCCCAUGAAAUUACACUUUGCACCCUCGUUUAGAUGUUAGUGGAGUGUGUGUGGUUAAUCGGCACACUAAUUGGUUCUAAGCAAAGGUGGCGAAGGGUGAUUCAUUGUUUGUCAUAGUUCGAUGGAGCGUGUGUGGUUUACCGGCACAUCGAAUAGGUGAUUGUAACAAUGAAGGCACCAUGUGAAUUUGCAUGGUAAUUCACACCCGCUUUGUGAUCCUCGGCAUCCCAGUCACAAACAAGAGGGGCAUAUCGAGAUUUAAACAUGCCAUUGAAUAGUUUCAAUGAAUCUCAUCCGAACCUAGGAAUUCUCAAAAACACUUAGGACUAAUAGUUUAAGUUUUGUGAUGGAGAAUUAGUGAAUCGUCAUUCACUUACCUCCAAAUUAUUUGCAUGUUGGAUUACGGUAUCCCUUUUCUAAUAUGUAAAUAAUGUUGUUGGGUCCUAGCCCUAAUUUUCAUUUUGGGUGUUUAAUUAGGGAUCCAAUUCUAAUCAAACUCUAUCCUUUCUAUUUGUAGAUGUCGAACACAAACAACGUUGCUGCUAGCUCAUUCACGCUAAUGAGCCUUUGUCAAAAAGUGACUUUCGAUGGAUCGUACUUUAGUGAAUGGAUCAGAUACAUUCGCACGAUCGUGUGUUACAAGGACAAGGAGUAUGUUCUCGAUGAGAAGCUCGAGAAGAUCAAUCCAGAAACUGCCACUCCCGAAGAAAUGGCUGUGUUUAAAACACAUGAGCAUGAUGCAACAAAAGUCCAUUGCAUCAUGAUAGCCACUUUGAACUCCAAAUUCCAAAAGUCCUACGAGGACAUGUAUCCUUAUGAGAUGCAUCUACACUUGAUGGAGCGAUACCACCAAAGCGCGAGGCAAGAAUGCUAUGAGAUCAUAACGAAUAUGAUCACUGCUAAAAUGGGAAGUGGAGAAUCUCUUACCGUGCACUUGCAAAAGAUGCAAAGGUAUGUCGAUCCUCUUCGCAAGUUGAAUGUCAACUUUGGGGAAGAUUUGGCUAUCGAAAUUGUUCUUCACUCCUUGCCCUCAUGCUACAACCAAUUUAGGAUGACCUACCACAUGAACAAGGAAGAGGUCACCCUAAGUAAACUCCAAGGGCUCCUAAGGACUGCUGAGAGCAACCUCAAGGACAAGUCUGUUGCACCAACUCCCAAUCCAACCGCUGCUCCUAUUUUGGCUAUUGGGCAGGGAAGGGGCAAGAAGAGGAAGGCUUCUUCAAAGAACCACCGCAAGGGAAAGUCCCAAGAUGGUUCCUCUUCUAGUGGGACCAAGGUUGAUCCUGCUAAGCCCAACCCAAACCCAAAGGAGGCAGAGUGCCAUCAUUGCCACAAAAUAGGGCAUUGGAAGAGAAGCUGCCAAGAAUAUCUGCAAGCUAUCAAGGAUGGAAAGAUCAAGCCGUUUUUGCAGGUAUAUACACAAUUAAAUCUAAGGAUUGGUCCCAUACUAUUUCUUGGGUUCUUGACACAGGAUGUGGUUACCACAUUUGUUCUAAUUUGUAGGGACUAGGAAGAAGUAGAGAUGUGGAGCUCGGAAGAAUAAAUCUAAUCAUGGGGAAGAGAAGAUCAUCACCUGUUACCAAGAUUGGAGUGUAUUCUUUAGUGCUUAGUAAUGGAUUGAAUUUAGAUUUAAAUAAUUGUUGCUACUCGCCAGAUAUGGCAAGAAACAUCAUUUCUUUUCAUGGUUUGUUUAAACAAGGAUUUAGAUAUUCGUUUAAUAAUAUGAAUGGUUCUAUUUAUGCUUAUCUAAAUAGUGUUUUAUACUUUAAAGCAAUGCCUUGUAAUGGAAUUUAUGAAACUGUUAUGGUUGUAGAUAACCUAGGAAAUGAUGUGUUAUGUAUGGAUUCUUCUAAUGGUAUGGAUAAAGCAUCCUUGUAGCAUUGUCGUCUCGGACAUGUCAACAAGAAGCGCAUAGCCCAACACCAAAAGGAUGGAGUGUUGGAGUCAUUCGACCUUAGGGAAGAUGACACGUGCGAAUCUUGUUUACUUGGAAAUAUGACCAAGUCACCCUUCACUAGCACUUGUGAGAAGGGUGAGGGUUUAUUGGAAAUCAUACAUACUGAUGUAUGUGGGCCUUUAGAUCCACCACAAAGGAUGGAAACCGCUUCUACGUGACGUUCACCGAUGAUUAUAGUAGAUAUGGGUAUAUUUACUUAAUCAAGCACAAGUCUGAAACAUUUGAAAAGUUAAAAGUGUUCAAGAAUGAAGUGGAGAAUCAAUUGGGCAGGAAAAUCAAGUUUCUUCGAUCCGAUCGAGGAGGAGAGUACCUAAGUCUUGAAUUCCACGACUAUCUCAAGGAAUGCAGAAUAGUUUCACAAUUGAUGCCACCUAGGACACCGCAGUUUAACGGUGUGGCAGAAAGGCAUAAUCAAACCUUGUUGGACAUGGUUCAUUCUAUGAUGAGUCGUGCUUCACUAGCUAUCUCAUUAUGGGGGUAUGCCUUAGAGACUGCCGCCCAUAUCCUUAAACGAGUCCCUACAAAGAAGGUUGCCAAAACACCUCAUGAGAUGUGGACAGGGAAAGCUCCCUCGUUGGCACAUAUCAAGGUUUGGGGUUGUGAAGUUUUCGUAAGACGAGAAACUCAUGACAAGCUCGAACCUCGUAGUGAGCAAUGUAUUUUCAUCGGCUACCCGCAAAAAUCCUUUGGAUAUCUCAUCUAUAGGCCGAGUGACAUUGUUGCCUUCGUUGCGAGGAGAGGGGUUUUCCGAGAGAGAGAGAGAGAGAGAGAACUCAUAAGCCAAGGAGACAGUUGGAGGCAGAUCGAUCUUGAAGAGAUUCAAGAGUCGAGUGAUGAAGGAGCCUCUACCGCUGGCGCUCAACCCGAGGAGGAAACUCCGGUUGAACCAAUUGACAAGUCAUUACCUCUUAGACGUUCCAAAAGAGUUAGAGUUCAACCCCAGUUGUAUGGUUUUCAUACUACUACCGAAGGGGACAUGUAUAUUAGUGAUAGUACACUAAUAAAUCUAGAUGAACCUAAUAGCUAUAAGGAAGCCAUGGCAGGCCUGGAGUCUGCUAAAUGGAAAGAGGCAAUGGACGGCGAGAUUCAGUCCAUGUAUGACAACCAAGUUUGGAAUUUGGUUGAAAAUGUGCCCGGACGUAAGACGGUUGGGUGCAAAUGGAUCUUCAAGAAGAAGACCGACGUGGAUGGGAAUGUGCACACGUAUAAGGCACGACUNNNNNNNNNNNNNNNNNNNNNNNNNNNNNNNNNNNNNNNNNNNNNNNNNNNNNNNNNNNNNNNNNNNNNNNNNNNNNNNNNNNNNNNNNNNNNNNNNNNNNNNNNNNNNNNNNNNNNNNNNNNNNNNNNNNNNNNNNNNNNNNNNNNNNNNNNNNNNNNNNNNNNNNNNNNNNNNNNNNNNNNNNNNNNNNNNNNNNNNNNNNNNNNNNNNNNNNNNNNNNNNNNNNNNNNNNNNNNNNNNNNNNNNNNNNNNNNNNNNNNNNNNNNNNNNNNNNNNNNNNNNNNNNNNNNNNNNNNNNNNNNNNNNNNNNNNNNNNNNNNNNNNNNNNNNNNNNNNNNNNNNNNNNNNNNNNNNNNNNNNNNNNNNNNNNNNNNNNNNNNNNNNNNNNNNNNNNNNNNNNNNNNNNNNNNNNNNNNNNNNNNNNNNNNNNNNNNNNNNNNNNNNNNNNNNUCCUGGCUCGGGAAGUGCUUCGCUAUGAAGGACCUCGGAGAGGCUUCCUAUAUUUUGGGAAUAAGGAUAGUGAGAGAAAGAAGUAAGAGACUAAUAGGACUUAGUCAGAAUACUUACUUAGAUAAAGUACUAAAACGUUUUAGUAUGGAAAACUCGAAGAAGGGAGAACUACCGAUACAAAGUAAUGCCAAGUUGAGUAAGACUCAAAGUCCGAGUACCGAAGCCGAGAUAGCUGAGAUGAGCCGAGUACCAUACGCUUCCACAGUUGGCUCAAUCAUGUACGUUAUGACUUGUACUCGCCCUGAUGUGGCAUUUGCUUUGAGCAUGGUCAGUAGAUAUCAAGGGAACCCUGGCAGAGCUCAUUGGAUUGCAGUCAAGAAUAUACUUAAGUACCUUCGGAGGACCAAGCAAUGGUUCUUAGUCCUCGGGGGGAGUGAUGACUUAAAGGUGCGAGGGUAUAGUGACGCCAGCUUCCAGACCGACAGGGACAACUACCGUUCGCAGUCAGGUUGGGUCUUUACCCUUAAUGGAGGAGCGGUGACUUGGAAAAGUUCCAAACAAUAGACCGUAGCUGAUUCAACGUGUGAAUCAGAAUACAUUGCAGCGAGCGAAGCGUCAAAAAAGGCGAUGUGGUUGAAGAACUUCUUUGGUGAUCUUGGAGUUGUGCCUGCCAUAAAGGAGCCUAUGGAAAUUUUCUGUGAUAAUGAGGGAGCGGUUGCAUUGACCAAGGAACCGAGGGAUCAUGGUAGAUCUCGGCAUAUCGACAGAAAAUAUCACUUUAUUAGACAUCGAGUAGAAGAAGGAAACAUCGUAGUGAAGAGGGUAUCAUCAAAGGAUAAUCCAGCAGAUCCGCUUAUGAAGGGACUGAGUAGGGUUAAGCAUUUGCAGCACGCUAGGAGCAUUCGGCUGAAAGACGAUAUUAGUUUAGAUUAGAUAGUUUUGAAACAUGUAAUAGAUAAAGGUAAUUGACAUUUGAUGAUUAAAUAAAAGAGUAUUAUUUAUAAGUAAAGUUAAUGUCUUAUAUUAAUUGUUUAACUAUUGUUUCACUUUGCAUGUUUUGACUUUCUGAAUAAUUAAGUUAUUAAGAAUAAUCAAAUUAUUCGAAUGGUCCACAAUCGUUUAUAUGUUGGAAGUAAGUAUAAAUAAAGAUUGUCAUGAAUUGGUGUGUAGAUUGUCUAAAAGAGUAUUAGACAUAGCAAUGGUUUGCUACUACGUUCAUGAUUGCUUAUGAAUAAGUUUUGAGCAUUGGAAUAAACCCACACUUGCUGGAAUCACUUUAUGGAAUGAGACACAAAUGAUCGCAAGACGAUAAUAUCAUAUAGUCUUAAAACCAAGAUAUAUGGUUUAUUUUUUACUAAUUGGUUGUACAUUGAUAAUGCGAAACCGCGUCAGUAAAUUGGUGUCAUAAAACACAUUGUUGUGUAUAGUUGGUUAGUCGAUAAGUAAAUGCAUAUAAUUCGAAGUUUAUCUGUUAUUUUUAUUCUGAGAGGGUAAAAGCGAUAUCACGGACGCUCGAUGAUUUUAUUUGACUUAUGUGUCGGGCCCGGUCAGGACUGAAUUGAUGUGUUCAAUUAAGUUCUAUGUCAAAUGAAUCUGAGAUCGAGAAACCAAAUGCUGGACAAUAAGUUCCAUAAGAUUGUCCGCAUAAUAUCUAAACAGAUGACUGUACAAUCCCUUAUCUAAAGGACAAGAGAUUGAUAAGAUCAGAGUUGACAGCGUCUUUGAGAGCUACGAUUGCUAAUCGGUUUGUGUUUGCAUAUAUAGUUACUAGACUUAUCCAAGUGGGAGACUAUUGGAUUAGUAUCUAAGACUGUAACUAUAUUUGGUAAGUACUUGACCCGGUUAUGCAUGGUCCUUUUGGGUUGCCUUCACCAUAGCAACUUGACAGGAUGAUUUGUUAAGAGAGAAGAAAUAUUAUUGUUAAUAUAUUAUGAGAAUAAUAUAUUAAAGGAAUAAUAAUAUUAUUUGAUUAAUAUAAGUCAUAUAUUAAUUAAAAAUUAAUUUGGUGACUUAAAGAGGUUAAUUGAAUAAAGGGGCAUAAACUGUCAAAUGUGUGAUAGUUGUGUUUUUGGGCUAUGUAUCGUUAUGGGUAAUGGGGUGGACGAAAUUUAGAGUUAGGGAACGUUAAAUUCGUCCAAGCCUAGUAUAUAGGAGGAUCUUGGAUUGCUUAGGGCCUAAGUUAUUCAGUUAGGGUUAAAGGUGAAACCCUAGUAUCCCAUAAUAUAAAUAGACCCCUAGGGUGAGGGAAAUCGGCACUUAUCCAAGGAAAGGAACCCUAGGGCCGAUUUCUCACCCUCUCUCCUCUCUCUCAAUAUCAUCCUCUUGCUAGUUGGUGAUUGUAAGCAAUUAGAGGAGUGACAAUUGUGACUCUAAGCUCUAAGGAGAAGAAGUAUCAAGCAAGUAAUCUAAAGUAUUGUUCUAGAUCCAAUUACAUAUGAUUUGAUUCAAUUGUUUACAUUAGAUCUAGUAUUGUAAGUCUUGGAUUCAAUGCAUGUUCAAUUAGAGAAACCUAGAUCCAAGCAUUAGGGUUUGCAUGUGCCCAUAGGAAAGUUCUUAUAGCUCAAACCCCAUCAUGAACAUGGUGGUGAACCUCUACCAGGUUACCGCCGAAAUCUCCACAGUAGUGAAAUCCGCUGUCACAAACUUCCACCUGUCCUUCGCUCCCAAGCGAAGCUGGUUCAGUGAAAACCGAAACCUCAUAUGCUUCGGACACGAACAGGUGUAGAAGCAUCCCUCGAUAUCAGAAAUCCAUCUCAUUGCAACAAUCGGAUCCUGCACCCCAUCAAACUCUGGUGGCUUCGUGUUGCUGAACUCUCGGAACAGCAACGAGUCACCCCCCUGAGGUCUAGCAGCAGCCACAGUGCAGUANGCCAUGGUGCAGUAGCUGCAGCAGCCACAGCCUCAAUAACCGCUGCAUAUCUCUCGCCAAAUGUCUCAAUCAGGGUGGUCUUGAUAGACCCAAACAUCUCUGGUAUCUCUGCGCGGAUAGCCGCAACCACCUCUUCGUGGAUCAUAUGACGAAGCUCCUCGUCACUCACGCCGUUGGUCUCUGGUCUGUGGCGUGUCCUAACCAUGAUGUCUCUGAAAUACAACAUAAAAAUAUCAGAGGCUCGCUUGAGUAUACUCGCACUCGAUAACUCACCCCUACUUGUUCCCUAGUACCCCAAGGAUUCUUACUUGGACUGCGCACCGAUCCGGGCCCUAUGCUACCUUCCACACCGCAUCAGCAUUCAUUCCAAGGUCCUAGGAUCCCAGAUCACAAAUACUCUACAUCUCGCUAAGCAUAGGCUACCCUUCGGUAGACUUCUCAUGAGUUCCUCACUACUACCUACUCACUCUCGAAGCAUCUCAUAGCAACAGUAAUCUCCUAGGCUAAGGCAUCACAAAUCAGGCCACUCUAGCCCUAAUAGGAAUACCUAGCCUACUCUAGCAUGCAUAACAUAUCACACAGUAUCUCAUAACACAUAAGGUAAGGGUAUUUUGGGAAAUCACCAUUCGGGCGCUGGCUGAUCGUACACACUGCUCCGUUCUGCUUUUCUCGAAAAUCUUUUACUCUUUUUUGAAAAAUUGUUUCUUUUAUGAAAAACUUUCGCAAAUCCUUAGUUUGAGUUCAGAUAUGCCCGAAGGUGCAUCCGAAUCCCUCAAACCAAGGCUCUGAUACCAACUUGUAACGACGUAAAAAUUUAAAUUUUUUUUUCAUUUUUUUAAAAGAAACCAUAACUCAUAUAAUAGUUCUCAAAAUAUCAUAAUGUCAAAUGUCAUAAUAAUAACAAAUCCCGUAAUCUCCAACAACUCUUCUUCCAGUGUGUACAAACAUGUCGGCGCCUUCUCGUGAUCCUCACUGGUACCUGAACCACAUCACACACAACAUUGUAAGCAUAAAUGCUUAGUGAGUUCCCCAAAAUACCACAUACAACACAUAAUAUCCACUCGAGGCUGAAGCUCUGUAUGACCUUCCGGUCAAUGUGUCUCCGCGGGACCCUCCAGUCUCGUAGCUCAUUGGACCCUCCGGUCCAGUCUAGCUCGUUGGACCCUCCGUUCUAGUCUAAAUCGUUGGACCCUUCGGUCCGUUCUAUAUAACAUAUAGCAUACAUAUAACAUAACUCACAAAAUCUCAUACAUACGCAUAACACAUAAGACCCUCCGGUCUGCACAUAGAUACCACUCUAGGUAAUGUAUAGUGAGAAGACUCACCUCGUACGAUGUCGAAUAACCUCUCGCUCGAUAACCCGACCUAGCCUCCCCGCCUAUCAAAAUAAUAACAUCUCUAAUCAAUACUUUCUCUUGUCAUCAUCUAUAAAGAAUGGGUAGCAUACCAUUCUACCCCUUCCUGAUCUCUCUUGAUUCAACUUGACUAAAACCCUAAGGUCAACUGAAGUUAACUCUAGUCAACGGUCAAACUUUGACCAAACUCGUCGAGUCCACUUGGGUAACUCGGCAAGUCCAAGAGUGUCCACCGAAUCCUUCUUAGACCUCACUCGACGGGUUACCACUGGUCAUGAAUCGUGGGGCAACCCCGACUCGACUCGUCGAGUUCUCUUAUGGACUCGGCGAGUUUCUUCCAUAACCACACUCAAAUGACCUUCUGAGGUCAGAUCUGUUUCUCUAACCUAUAGAUCUGACUUCCCAAUGCUCAAUAAUUACGUAAAGGUCUGAACUUUAUGUUCAUGCAUCUCACAUAAGGCCCUCUUUGAAGAAAAAACUCUAAAAAUGAAGUCCUGGGCUCAAUGUUCUCAUGUAACAACAUAAAGCUUGGUUGUUGGGACUCUCUGGACCUCUCAAGGUCCAGAUCUGAAGUCUAAUCCUCAAUGGGUCUUCACAUGCUCCACAUUCCAACUAUAGAAAGGGUAAAGAAACCCUAGAUUCAAGAGAUCUACUAAAUACACGAAAUAGACACGGAUUCAUACCUCAACAACACCCUUUUUAAGAAGAAAUGGUAGUUCUGAGCUCCUCAAUCAGCGUAGCAUGAAUCCCUUCUCUCCUUCACGCAAGAAUGCACUAAAGGUGAUGAAAUUAGCUCCUUCCUUCACUCUCUAUGCUCUCUAGUUCAAUUAGGGUUUCUCAAGAGUGUGUGGCCACAAAUAAAGGCCAUAAGGACCUUUAAAUAGGGCUCAGGCCCAAGGAUUUAGGGUUUCUGUCCACAGCGCGGACUUGUCGAGUCCAUUCAUUAAUCCUAGUCAGCAGUCGUGAUCCUACUCGAUGAGUUUAGGCGUCAACUCGUCGAGUCCCUCUCCUUGACCUAAAAUAAAUACUCAAUUUAUGAUACCUGGAAAUCCGGAUGUUACAUGAAGGGAUGUUCUUGGAGUUUUGAUGUAACAUCCGUUCCCCAUAAUGAAUUAGUCAAUAGUAUAAAGGAGUCAAAGGCAUGGUUUUUUAGGAAAACCAUAUGUCAUGAUGUGGCAUGAAGGAUGUCAUGACGUGGUAUGCCAAAUGAAGAACGUGUAUUUCGGAUGGUCACCACGGCAUGACAUGAAGGGUGUCACGACGUGGUGAAUGUUGCAGCCCAAGCCCUAGAUUUUUAGGGUUUCAUUCAUAUUUAAGAGCCUUAACUCUAGGGUUAGGCCAUUCCCUUCAGCUUCUAUUCCCUGUAAAUGAAGCCCUAGCCUCUCAUCUUGCCUUUUUACUCUUUGAUGUUGUUUUGGUCACUUGAAGGUUGAAGCAAGACUUUGUUGAGCAAUGGAUCAACUAGCAAGCUUGUCUACAUCUCUUGGUGCACAUUCUAGACUUGUGUAAGUCUCCAAGUUUCCAUCUUUUUGGUUCAUCUCUUGUGGAUCUAUGUUUUACGCCCUUUCAUUAAUGAUUUGUGGUUAUGAUUGGUUGGAUUGAAUAAAGUUGGCAACUUUAUAACUCCUUAAGGUCCCUUGGUCAUCAUAUGUUCCACGUCUAUAUUGUAACAUCCCAAAAAUCAAGUUAAUUUUCAUUUUCAAAACCAAACCAAAUGUAACACCCCGUUUUAAAUAGAAUAAUUAAAUGGUUAGUGGGGUGUUGGUUUUAGUAAUCCAAAUGGAAAGAAUUGAAUCUUAGGGGUUAAAGUGUAAUUUUGGACUUUAUUUGUAAAUAUUUUCAUAAGUCAUGGAGUGUUUGGUAUUAUAUACGCUUAAUAUGUAAGGAAUUAUGGAAGAAGGGACUAAAGAGUAAAUUCUGGACCUAUGUUGAAAGGGUUUGUUGAGUGACGGGAUGUUGUGUAAAUUAUGGAUUAGAUUUGAAAAAGAUUCUUGAAGCCAUGACAGAAAUGGUAACAUUUGGAUUAAAUUUGAAAGAAAGGAAGAUGGAGGGGCUGAUCUAGUAAUUAUGGGGAAAUGCCUAUUAGGGGCGGGGUAUUUAAAAGUUACCCUCCCCGGUAAACCCUAACCCUAGAUGUAUUGUUCCCAGCUGCCAUCUUCACCACAUCUCCCUCCAGCCGCUACCUUCUACUCCAUCGACUAGCCACUACCUCGGUCGAGAUCCCAAACUAUCAGAGCCACCACAUCGUGUCCAUCCUAGCACCGGAGAAUGAAGUUGUGUGCGUGCUACCGCCGUUCUCUUGGAAGACUGCCAUUCAGCCUUUAUCCGCCACCUUACGAACCUCCAGUCGCCUGCCGGGAACUAAAAGUGAUUGUUGGUCAUGAACCACCGAGGUUGCUUGCCCUGUUGCGCUGAAGCAGUGAGAAAUGUAGUCGCUACACCACCACCCCACGUCAUUAACGCUCUGUCACCGGUGAAAACGAAGAGUCUCACGUUGAGACUGAAUUUGUGAGUUGUCGCCUGAGACAUCAGACGUGAGGUUGAAUCGGUGCUGUGGUCGUGAGAAGGGCAGGUCGAACCUGCUGAUGUGGGUCUCAAUGUCGCUGUUGCCAACGUCAUCGCUACAGUUGUUCCCGCCGUCAACCGUAGUAGUGCUCGCUUGUUCUGCUGUUGCUGGAACCACCAGGUGGGUGGUUGGGUUAUUUUUCCGAUCAAGUGUGCGGGUGUGAUUGUGCCAGUAGAGAGCCUGCUAUAGAGGUGUUUGUUUGGCCGGAAACCAUGGAAGACCACCAUGGCUACCAACCAUGGUGGUUAACGCCGCCUUUGAUGUUCUGUCACCACCAGCCGCCGUGUUAUGGUGGUUGUGUGUGCGUUUUGCUAUGGAUUUAGGUGUGUGUGAGUGUGUAUGCGUUAUUUUGGUUUUCAACAUUGUAAUUGUAACCGGAAUAAUAAUAAAAAACUCCAAACCACCACCAUGAAGUGGUGGUUGUCGCCUGCUGCCGCCACCGGCCACCGUGUCGGGUGGCGGUAUGCUUUGAUUGCGUUUGGACCUUGUUUGGGGAAUGUUUGGAUAAUAUGGGACCAAUGAAACCCUAAUGCGCCCAAAGAAACCCUAGUGGGCCCAAUGGAACCCUAAUGGGCCAAUAAGACCCAAUAUGACCUAAAAGCCCAACCAAUAGACUAACGAACUAGUAUUGGGUUGGAAAACCCUAAGGGCAUAAAACCCUAACUUGUGGAAAUUGAUCGGGACACACACAUGAGAAUUAUGUAAUAAACUUGAAAUAUUAAAUAAUAAUCAUUGGCAAACUAACUUAAGGCAAUAAUUGACUUAAUGGAUUAUGUCCUUAAUGGGUUAAGUGAGAAACACUUAACCCUAAUUGUCACUUUAUGUGAAACCCUAAUGUCACUCGGGCUUUGUGUUGGGCGUUUCUAUUGGGCUUUGGUAAUUGGAUUAUUAAUGGACCAUCCAAGAAUGAUCAUAUGGACCAUAAUUGGUUGAUGGGCUGGCCAUAAAAUAGACCAUAGUUUGGGCCUAUAUGAUUAUGUGAUAUUGGGCCAAGGGAAUACCAAGAGUUUGGACCAGAAUAAUUGGAUGGGCCUUAAGGAAAGACCAUGUAGAGGUCUGGGCCCAAUUUGGAAAAUUGGUCCAUAUGUUGGGCUUUAGCCUAUUACUUGACUAUUGGGUUUUUGUAGUAUGAGUUGGACCUUGGGCUUAGAACCCAAUUAUUCAUUGGGUGAUGUUUUGACAUUGACAGUUCGGGAAUCUAUCAUCCAGUAGCUGAGAUUGUGUCUACAGGACUUCAGCAUUUUGAGGUGAGUUCUCCUCACUAUACCGAUAGGGUCUACGACAUUAGGUCGGUCCCUUCGGUUUGAUAUUUGGGUAGCUAUUGAUAUGUCUGAUGGGUUUUGGACAUAAGAACUUUCCCUAUGUGCACAUACAACCCUAUAGCUUGGAUCUAGGUUUCACUAAUUGAACAUGCAACAUAUCCAAGACUUUCAUGGCUAGAUCUAAUGUAAACUAACAAUUAAAACAUAUGAAAACAAAUCUAGAAUAAUACCUUGAGUUACUUGCUUGAAAACCUUCUUCUUCUUGGAGCUUAGAGUCAAAAAUGUCACUCCUCUAAUGGCUUACAAACACCAACUAGCAAGAAGAUGAAUUGAGAGAGAUGAGGAAGAGGGAAAUCGGCUCUAGGGUUACUCCAAUCACAAGGUUGGCCGAUUUCCUCAACCCUAUGGGUCUAUUUAUACUGUGAGCUCCUAGGGUUGAUUCAUUUGACAUAGAACUUAAUUGAACACAUCAAUUCAGUCCUGACCGGGCCCGACACAUAAGUCAAAUCAAAUCAUCGAGCGGCCGUGAUAUCGCUUUUACCCUCUUAGAAUAAAAGUAACAGAUAAACUUCGACUUAUAUGCAUUUACUUAUCGACUAACCAAGUAUACAAAACAAUGGGUUUUAUGACAUCAAUUUACUGAUGCGGUUUCGCAUUAUCAAUGUACAACCAAUUAGUAAAUAAUAAACCAUAUAUCUAGGUUUUAAGACCAUAUGAUAUUAUCGUCUUGCGAUCACUCCAAAGUGAUUCCAGCAAGUGCGGGUUUGUUCCAAUGCUCAAAACUUGUUCACAAGCACUCAUGAACGUUGCAGCAAACCUUUGCUAUGUCUAAUACCAUUUAGACAAUCUACACACUAAUUCAUGACAAUCUUCAUUCAUACCUACUUCCAACAUAUGAACGAUUGUGGACAGUUUGAAUAAUUCGAUUAUUCUUAAUAAACUCAAUUAUUCUUGAAGUCAAAACAUGCAAAGUGAAACAAUAGCUAAACAAUUAACAUAAGACAGUAACUUUACUUAUAAACAAUACUCUUUUAUUUAAUCAUCAAAUGUCAAUUACAUUUAUCUAUUUCAUGUUUCUAAUACUAUCUAAUCUAAACUAAUAUUAGCCUUCAGCCCAAUACUCCUAGCAUGUUGUAAGUGCUUAACCCUGUUCAGUCCAUUCGUAAGUGGAUCUGCUAGGUUAUCUUCUGAUGAUAUCCUCUUAACCACGACGUGUCCUUCUUCUACUCGAUGUCUAAUAAAGUGAUAUUUUCUGUCGAUAUGCCGAGAUCUACCAUGAUCUCUCGGUUCCUUGGUCAAGGCAACCGCUCCUUCAUUAUCACAGAAAAUUUCCAUGGGCUCCUUUAUGGCAGGCACAACUCCAAGAUCACCAAUGAAGUUCUUCAACCAUAUUGCCUCCUUUGACGCUUCGCUCGCUGCAAUGUACUCUGAUUCGCACGUUGAAUCAGCUACAGUUUCCUGUUUGGAACUUUUCCAAGUUACUGCUCCUCCAUUAAGGGUAAAGACCCAUCCCGACUGCGAACGGUAGUUGUCCCUGUCGGUNNNNNNNNNNNNNNNNNNNNNNNNNNNNNNNNNNNNNNNNNNNNNNNNNNNNNNNNNNNNNNNNNNNNNNNNNNNNNNNNNNNNNNNNNNNNNNNNNNNNNNNNNNNNNNNNNNNNNNNNNNNNNNNNNNNNNNNNNNNNNNNNNNNNNNNNNNNNNNNNNNNNNNNNNNNNNNNNNNNNNNNNNNNNNNNNNNNNNNNNNNNNNNNNNNNNNNNNNNNNNNNNNNNNNNNNNNNNNNNNNNNNNNNNNNNNNNNNNNNNNNNNNNNNNNNNNNNNNNNNNNNNNNNNNNNNNNNNNNNNNNNNNNNNNNNNNNNNNNNNNNNNNNNNNNNNNNNNNNNNNNNNNNNNNNNNNNNNNNNNNNNNNNNNNNNNNNNNNNNNNNNNNNNNNNNNNNNNNNNNNNNNNNNNNNNNNNNNNNNNNNNNNNNNNNNNNNNNNNNNNNNNNNNNNNNNNNNNNNNNNNNNNNNNNNNNNNNNNNNNNNNNNNNNNNNNNNNNNNNNNNNNNNNNNNNNNNNNNNNNNNNNNNNNNNNNNNNNNNNNNNNNNNNNNNNNNNNNNNNNNNNNNNNNNNNNNNNNNNNNNNNNNNNNNNNNNNNNNNNNNNNNNNNNNNNNNNNNNNNNNNNNNNNNNNNNNNNNNNNNNNNNNNNNNNNNNNNNNNNNNNNNNNNNNNNNNNNNNNNNNNNNNNNNNNNNNNNNNNNNNNNNNNNNNNNNNNNNNNNNNNNNNNNNNNNNNNNNNNNNNNNNNNNNNNNNNNNNNNNNNNNNNNNNNNNNNNNNNNNNNNNNNNNNNNNNNNNNNNNNNNNNNNNNNNNNNNNNNNNNNNNNNNNNNNNNNNNNNNNNNNNNNNNNNNNNNNNNNNNNNNNNNNNNNNNNNNNNNNNNNNNNNNNNNNNNNNNNNNNNNNNNNNNNNNNNNNNNNNNNNNNNNNNNNNNNNNNNNNNNNNNNNNNNNNNNNNNNNNNNNNNNNNNNNNNNNNNNNNNNNNNNNNNNNNNNNNNNNNNNNNNNNNNNNNNNNNNNNNNNNNNNNNNNNNNNNNNNNNNNNNNNNNNNNNNNNNNNNNNNNNNGGAUUUUAAUGACCCAAAACAGUUAAGGCAAGUUUCCUCAAGAAAAACAGCAAGAAAUCCCGAAACUUCCUCUUUCUGACGCUCGAACUCGCCGAGUACCCACUAUGGACUCGCCGAGUGGGAGCUACUCGCCAAGUCCACAGUGGAACUUGCCGAGUUCCUCAGGCAGAAGACCAAAAAUUGAAUUUAACAAGCAACAAGCAAUUAACCAAUGCAUCAAUUCAAUAGAAAUCAAUCAAGGCUCUGAUACCACUGAUGGGGUUUGAGCCAUAAGAACUUUCCUAUGGGCACAUGCAAACCCUAAUGCUUGGAUCUAGGUUUCUCUAAUUGAACAUGCAUUGAAUCCAAGACUUACAAUACUAGAUCUAAUGUAAACAAUUGAAUCAAAUCAUAUGUAAUUGGAUCUAGAACAAUACCUUAGAUUACUUGCUUGAUACUUCUUCUCCUUAGAGCUUAGAGUCACAAUUGUCACUCUUCUAAUGGCUUACAAACACCAACUAGCAAGAGGAUGAUAUUGAGAGAGAGGAGAGAGGGUGAGAAAUCGGCCCUAGGGUUCCUUGCCUUGCAUAAGUGCCGAUUUCCCUCACCUUAGGGGUCUAUUUAUACUAUGGGAUACUAAGGUUUCACCUUUAACCCUAACUGAAUAGCUUAGGCCCUAAGCAAUCCAAGAUCCUCCUAGAUACUAGGCUUGGAUAAAUUUAAGGUUCCCUAACCCUAAAUUUCGUCCACCCCAUUACCCAUAAGGAUACAUAGCCCAAAAACACAACUAUCACACAUUUGACAAUUUAUGCCCCUUUAUUCAAUUAACCUCUUUAAGUCACCAAAUUAAUUCUUAACUAAUAUAUGACUUAUAUUAAUCAAAUAAUAUUAUUAUUCCUUUAUUAUAUUAUUCUCAUAAUAUAUUAACAAUAAUAUUUCUUCUCUCUUAACAAAUCAUCCUGUCAAGUUGCUAUGGUGAAGGCAACCCAAAAGGACCAUGCAUAACCGGGUCAAGUACUUACCAAAUAUAGUUACAGUCUUAGACACUAAUCCAACAGUUCAGGGAUGAGUAUAUUCCCUCAGUGGAGAGGGAACUGUUGGAUCAGGAGUUCUUGUCCCUUAAGCAGGGGACGGAGUCCGUGACGGUGAUCACAUAGAUGUUUCACGAGAGGGCGUUGUAUUUCCCUGAGCACGUGUCGUCUGAGCAGGCACGCAUGAGCCGAUACUUGAGCAUUCUGAGGAGGGACAUUCGUGAGUUCGUGGCGAACUCGUCAUACCGGACAUUUACUGAGCUCCAGGCAAAUGCCCGAAAGAGGGAGAUUGAGUUGGAGACUCAGGUCAGGGAGGAGGCCGAGUCUCAGAGGAGGGACAGACAACCGACGCAGGUUCAGUCGGCAGCCAAGCGGGCGAAGCCCGCUGAUUCGAGAUCUGGAGGUCCGAAGGGCCGCACUUGUGGGAAGUGCGACAAGAGCCAUGAGGGAAUGUGCAGAGCUGGGGUGUGUUACAAGUGUGGGAAGGAGGGGCAUUUCGCAAAGGAUUGCCCCAAUGGAUUUUCUGUUUGCUUUCAUUGCAAUCAGACGGACCAUCGGAAGGCUGAGUGCCCGCAGCUGUUAUAGGGAUUAGCCCAUGGAUCUGCCCCUGCUGCUGCACGAGCUACUGAGGGUCAGCCAGUGAAGGCCGAGGCACUGAAGGCUCGAGCGAGAGCUUUUCAGUUGACAGCGGAGGAGGUCCGCGCAACGCCUGAUGUCGUCACUGGUAUGUAUCCUUUCAUUUAGUUAUUCCGAGUUGAGAUUUUGUGCUUAUAUUAUGGUAUGUGUAGGUACUUUUCUUGUGAGUUAUGUGCCUGCUUUGGUGCUUUUUGACUCGGGUGCGAGUCGAUCUUUCGUGUCUGUAGCGUUUAGUCAGCACAUCAGUAUCCGACGACAGGCGUUGAGUCGACCUCUACGAGUUUCCAUAGCCGACGAGCGAGCAGUGUAUGCUACUGAUGUGAUUCGAGGAUGUGUGCUUGAGAUCUUCGGUGUUGAGUUCCUGAUAGAUUUGGUACCGAUUGCGAUGGGGGAUGUUUGUGUCAUCGUUGGCAUGGACUGGUUGAGCCAAUUUGGAGCUGUUAACGACUGCGAGCGUCAGUUGGUGACCUUACGAGACCCUCGUGGGGGAGUACUUACAGUGUAUGGCGAGGGUACCUGAUCUGGAUCAGGAUUUUGGUCAGCCGCCAAAGCGAGGCAGAGUCUACAGCAGGGUUGUGGAGGGUUUGUAGCCUAUGUGAUGGAUACGUGAGUUGCCGCAGAGAGGCCAAGUUUUAUUGAUGAGGUCCCGAUAGUGAGUGAGUUCUCGGAUGUUUUCCCCGAGGAGUUGCCAGGUGUGCCUCCGGAGAGGCAGGUGGAGUUUCAUAUUGAUUUGGUUCCGGGAGCAGCGCCUAUUGCCAAGGCACCCUAUCGCCUUGUGCCACCAGAGAUGCAGGAGUUAUCCUCGCAGCUUCAGGAGCUGNGCUUCAGGAGGUUGGGGAAGGGAUUCAUUCGGCCGAGUAGCUCGCCGUGGGGAGUGCCGAUUCUUUUUGUCAAGAAAAACGAUGGUUCACACAGGAUGUGUAUUGAUUACUGGGAGUUGAACAAGUUGACGGUCAAGAACCGUUACCCAUUACCAAGGAUCGACGAUAUGUUCGACCAGUUGCAGGGUACAUCUUGGUUCUCCAAGAUUGACUUGAGGUCAGGAUAUCAUCAGAUGAGGGUGCGGGAUGAGGAUAUCCCAAAGGAGGCGUUCAGGACUCGUUAGUCUAUUAUUCACUGAGACUAAUUAAUAGUCUAGCUAUUAUUACUAUUAUAUAAGCGUUAACCAAUACUUAUAUAACCCAUAAUAAUAGCCCAAGUACUUAUUACAAGUUCAUAAUAACGUUACUAUAAUUAAAUAAACGAUAUAUUAAAAAUAGCGUAGGCGUAGCUCACUUACAACGGGUUUUAUAGAAAACCGGGCUUUGCAUCGAUCAGCGUUCCCGAGCCGAAUAGCUCUUCUUCUCGGAGCCGUCGAUCACUCCAGGGCUUCCGCCUCGUGCUAGGGAGGUUCCCUAGGCUUUUCGGGGGGGUUUCAGGGCUAAAGAGAGGUUCUAGAGAGAGAGUAAAGAAAAGAAAGAAUGAGAAAUGUGUGAAGAAAAUGAGGGUAGGAGAGGUUCUAUUUAUAGGGUGAAAAUGGCUGAGCUUGGUGCCACAUGUCACCAUCUAGUGGCAAGACUUGGAGAGAAAGCAAUGGCCAAGAUUGUGCCACAUCACCCAUUUUCGCACAACACACUUCCGACUUCUAAAAUCCGUAACUUUCACAUACGAGCUCCGUUUUUGACGUUCUUUAUAUCCACGCGAGGUAAAAAUAAGAUCUACAACUUUGAUUUUGACUCCAUCAACUAAUUCUCAUCUGAUCUUAAAUUUAACAGUACGAGGAGAUUAUACUGUUAAAUGUCCUCGUAAAAUUCAUAACUUCUACAUACUGACUUUGUUUUCGUCUGUCUUUUUACCGUUGAGUUCCUAUUAAUGAGAUCUUCAAUUCUCAUUUAGGUCACGUAGGCCAAAAACCGCUCAAUCUAAAAUUCGAGUUUCGGACUGUGCACUGCUAAGCCAAAUCUUAGAAAAUUCAUAACUUCCUCAUACGAAGUCAGAUUUGGGCGUUCUUUUUUUGUAUGUUCUCGAUUUAAUGUAUACUACAAAUAUUUUUAGAUUUCUAUGGCUAAAAAGUCCACCAUCAUAAAUUCACUAUUUACGUCUCCCGGUACCGUGCCGGUUUUGCUGUAAAACUUUGACGGGCCAUAACUUCUUUGUUAUAACUCGGAUUUCGGCGUUCUUUAUGUGUACAGAACCCUUGAGACAUAUUCUACAAUCUGGUAAAGAUUAUUUAUUAUAAAUAAUCUUUUGUAUUAUCUCUAAAUUGACUAGCCCGGAUCUAUGGGCGUUAUAAUUAUUUCCCCUUUAGGAUGAUUACGUCCCGGAAUCAUCAACGAAACAGGGCUCACAUGAUGACUCCAUAUGUUAUCUCUUCAUCCUAAGUAGUAACUGUAACUUUAAUGUUUCUUCAAAUGAGUAUCUAACUCUAAGACUUACUGACUGCAGGCGGUGCCCAAUCUUAGACCCGCUCUCUAUCUCAUGUUAGACUUUCAAUCACGAUCUUCAUGUCACAAUCUCGAUCUUUAUUGGAGACUUCUUCUUUAGCAAACUUGAGAUAAGCUUCUUCCUUCGAUUAUCAUAAUAGACCGAUGGGUCAUUUUGUGAUGACAUCUCAUCGUAUGAUGCAUUGCUUGGACUCAGGUCUUUUAGAGUCAAAUUUUGAAACAGACUAUACCUUAUUUCAAGUUCUAAUCGCAUCUUAAAAGGUAUCAUUUCUAGCUACAAGCAAGUAUCGUGAUACCUCUACCGAUCGCUUUGAUUAUCUUUUAUUUCAAUCUUCCGACUUAAGUCAGAUGCUACAUCAAACUUGGUUCUUUGAACCACGUAACAUACUUAUCGUAGUCAGACUCAAUUCGUUAUGACCACUAGGGUCGGAAUAACAAUCAUCCUCUUAGUCAUUACCGAAACGGUGGUAAUGACAUAUUUGAAUAAAACGGUAUCAAUUACUAGCUUCUUGGUAACCUUGUGACUUUCCCUGAUCCAAGCGUGAGUCCUGUGCUUCCGGUAGUAUAGGCCUCUACUACCAUUCACACCUACUCAUACUCGUCCCAAGUAUUGUCUCGUAGUUUUUCCAAGUCGCCAUACAAGAAAACCACACAACAACUUAACACAUCAGAUAACAAAAUGAAGGUUUUAUAUUAUUUCUUGAAACGAUUACAUAGGAGUUCAAGUUCACCCUAGAUUAUGCCUCUACAAGGCUACAUCAUAUGAAACUAUGGCUACUACAUAAUCUGAUCUUCGGGUAAGAAGUACUCAUUCUUGAUUCCUCGCGUUGGUGUCUGCUUCAUCGAGGAUCAUGUGGAAUGCCCUUGGUUUCGGCGAUGCAUUUGCUCUUGCAGCUUCGUUUUUCUUUGGAUAGUUCUUUGAAAUAUGCCCAUCAUUUCCACAUUCGUAGCACUUCUUGUUAUCGGAUGUACAAUCUCUGGAAUAGUGACUGGUCCUACCACACCUAUAGCACGUUACUUCUCCAUCGCAUCUUCCGAAGUGCUUCUUCUUGCACUUCUCACACCACUUGGCUCCAUUCCUUCGGUCGUCCAGGUUAGACUUUGAGAACUUUCCCUUUUUAUCAGGUCUUGAGGAUUCUUCCAACUUUCUCUUCUCGCCAACUUCAAAUUUCUCUAGACCCUUUUCUCUUAUUUGGGUCUCAACAUUCUUGGCUGCCCAUAUGGCGGCUUUCAAAGUGGUUGCUUGUUUGACCAUUGGGCCAAAGUCCGCUGGUAAUCCAUUGGCAAACCUAUUGACCUUGGAAAGUUCCGUUGGAACUAAAUAAGGAACAAGCUUCAUCUUCUCCGUAAAACUUGUAGCGUACUCAAUGACGCUCAAUUUUCCUUUCUUUAGGUUUUGAAACUCGUUGUUGAUCUCUAGUAGAUCCUGCUCAAAGCAGUAUUGCAUUUUCAAUUGCACCAGGAAAUCUUCCCAAGAUAUCUUACUUGCUUCUCCUGUGGGCAUCGUAUCUGCCAAUAUCUUCCACCAGCUCAAGACUCCGCUCUUCAGUUUCCUGAUCGUAAAGAUGGUUUUCUGCUUGUUGCUAUAGUCGCAACUCUCAAACACCAUCUCCAUCUGAGAGAUCCAGUCCAUAAUCUCAACCGGCUUCAGGCUUCCAGAAAGACUUGGUGGUUUUGCACUCAAGAAGUUCUCAUACCUUCGCCCAUCCUUGUCGUUUCCCGUCUCCGGGCCAUCCCUUCGUUCACCUUGAGUCCCUAUAUGACUCACUUGGCGGCUGUAGUUCCCUUCCUCCGACUGCUCGGGAAUUGGCUCGGUUUUCUCGAUGGGCAUGGUAGGUUCGUCCUUAUUUUCAUGCAACAUCUGUCUCAUUUCCUCCCUUUGUUCAACUAACAUAGCCCGAAUCAUGGCUUGUACUCCAGCCAUGGUGACUGGCUCAAGUGCAGCUCCCAUUAAAACAAGUAUUUGCUCGAUCACCGGGGGCUGUUGAUUCCCAUUUUCGUUUGCGUUCCCGACUCCGCUUCGGGUUCUAGCCAUGUGAUCUAUAAACGUUUGGUGUAUAAUGACGAGAAUUAAGAUAGGAAAGAUUUUAUUUACGAUCGACGUGUAAAUCUUCCUUUUAUUCCGAAAAGUUACAUGCCAGUUCUAAUACCAUAAUUAAACGUUUAGAAGUCUGAACACGUAAAGUUUCUAGAUCCGGUCGGCAACAAACCAUAGAUCCGAUCAUACAUUUAGCAUCAUAAAUCAUUUAGCACAUAAAAGCAUGUUAGGCAUUUUCCCUAAAUAAGCUAGUGUUUGUGUCUAUUCAGGUGUAUUACCUAAGACACACUCCUCACAAUCAUUGCUUAGCAUUCUAAGUUUAAGUCUAGAAAUAAAUUCAUAUUCCUAGUUCGCUUAAGCUAAUGCUCUAAUACCAACUGUGACAUCCCCAUUUUCACGGCCAGAAAAGACUGAUUUUGUUUAUGCUUUAUAAAAAUCAGAGUACUUCUUUUAAUAAAAAUGUUGCGGAAUUUGUUCCCAGAAAAACAUGAUAAAUACGUUAUCAAAGCAUUUUCGAAGAAAUGUAUUUUUAUUCAUUUAAAACAUUUGGGAUGUCAUCGUCAAUACGGAAACAGGGAGGGUUUCGACUCCAUUAUUCGGCUUACCGAUGCUCGUGUUGGUACUCUUCCCCUGUGGAGGUUGUAAAAACUCCAUCCAUGCCACAGGGAGGGUGUCAACCUAGUUCCUAACUCAGUCUCUGUAAAUCUACGGAUCAUUAAGGUGUCCGACCAUGGAAGUCUCAUCGGUGUCUUCCUAAAAUACAUUUCGAAGUUCUCUCUGUUUCCAACCAUCAUUUUCCUGAUUGAGAAGAAUAGGGUCUCCUGGUAGUUUAGCUCCCGCAAUGUUGUUUGUGUGAGAAUAGGGGUAGAAGAGAUAAUUAAUAGAAGUCUAAUCCUAUAAUUAAUUACUUCUACGGGGCGAUCCUUAUCAGUCACGUCUAUAAUCACAUAGUGCAUACCAGUUAUACAUAAUCUGAGAUAGACUAGACCUUCGAAUAAAUGACUCUACUCUAUGUCCACAACCAAACAAGGAACAAGAAGUAGAGCAAUAGUCAUAGAUUCCGAGUCUAUAAUAUCUUUAAUUAUGUAUAACCUUAGCGUAUGCACUUAGUCGUUAUAGUCCUACUAAUAGGGGUCUUUAGUUUUCAUAUAAGUUGGUUAUAGUACUACAAAAUACUCGUAUAGUAUUUUUAUGUUUGUAUUAUGUUUUCACUGUUUCUUUGUAGAGAGAAUUGGUAAGUUUUUAGACUUGCUGCAAUGCCACAACCAUUCCCGGGCAUAUGCUAAACACUUCUGGUUCAGACAUAGUUGAUCAGGCUAUGUCAUUCCCAGACCCGACUAUACAUCCCCAAGCCUACUUUUGCCAUUCAACAAUCAUUACUUUUGUUUUGUUCUAUAAUUAUGCUGACCUUAGUAUGUAUGCAUGCAUGUAUACUUUUAUCAAGAAACUAUUUAUUUCUAAAAGUAUAGUCAUUUAAAAAUGUUAAAUCAGAUACCUUAGUCCCGAUGCAUUUAUAGUUUGUAUAUCUUAUGUGGUUUGAUAUACUUAGUUCACUAUAAACAAUGCUCUGAUACCAAUCUGUCACACCCCCCAAACCAAGGAUGGCGGAAACGUUCAGGGUGGAGGAAUUCAUGUAUAGUAUCACAACAACAAGUAUAAUAGUGCUCAAAGUAAAUACAACCAUCAUAAAUAUAAUUGAGAAAGUUACAUCAUAGUAAGUUUACAUGUUUCAAAAUCAAUUCCAUUAUGAUGACAAAAUGAACUAGUUGACGAUUUAUCGUCCCAUACUCAAAAUGCUGUUGGUUUUCUUGUUUCACUGAUUUCCUGAGAAUACAAGUAGUUUUGAAAAAGUGUCAACAAUUAAGUUGGUGAGUUCAUAAGAGUUUUGUUUUAGAAUGAAACUGUUUUCCUUGUAAAAGCAACAAAGUAUGUUUCCAAAAAAUUCAAUAUUUUCCUUAUUAUGUAUGAAAUAAAUGAUUUUAUGUUAUGCGAUAAUGAAUCCUAGAAAGACCCAUAGAUUCCUUCUAUAAUCACUCAACGUAUAUAAAUUAUAUAAAAAUUAAGUUAAAUAAACCGUUCAAUAUAAUGGGUCUGCCCCAGGUCCACAACAAAACAAGGAAUAUGAGAUAAGGCGGGCCCACCAAUUCUAAGUCGAUUGUGACUAGAUUCUUAUAUAACUCUAGCAUAUACACUUAGCAAUUGUAGCUGAAGUCUAACAAUUCUAGAUGAAAUAUAGUUUUAAUAUCAUAAAAACCAUUUUGUGUGAGCCUGAUACUUUGUAUUUUUACCCUUUUUUGGUAUGAAACCGGUACUUUGUAUUUGUACCCCCUUUCGUAUGAAAACCUGGUACUUUGUAUUUGUACCCCCUUUCGUAUGAAAACCUGGUACUUUGUAUUUGUACCCCUUUUCGUAUGAAAAACCUGGUACUUUGUAUUUGUACCCCUUUUCGUUUAAAAACCUUUUGUAAUGAAUUCGUAAUGCAAAUGAACAUAAACUAUUUCUAUUAUAGUCUAUCAUAAUGUUUGUAAUGUAUAUGCAACCUAACUAUACCUAUUAUAGUUUAGUAUGUUUGCUUGUGGUGUAUAAGAACCAUUUUCUAUGUACGUCGAAUGUAUAGCAAAAUAUAACUAUGUUUAUCAUGCCUUGUUUUGUACUAUUGGUAAUGAUGGAGGAUUCUUAAAAUUCAGCGAGUAUUUUAUGUUAUACAAUUAUCCCACAAGAAGAAACACAUGUAAAAUAUGAAGUCAUUAAAGAUUAACACUUUGCUCAACAUGUUACAAAGUGUGUUGAAAGUUAUAAGCUGUUAUCUAGAUUUUUGACAUUUCUAUACUAUUUUAGAAAAAUUAUAGAAAAAUCAUACGAACUCGAAAACUGAAUCCGUAAAUUCUGAGGGUUCAAAAAAUGUGUCUAGUUUGUCCAUAAUUUUUAUUAUGAUUUUUGGAAGUCUUUAACUUGGGUUAAAAUGUCCAUAUUCAUAGAUUGGUCCGGAUUUGUUCUUGAAAUGAUAGGCUGUUUUGUAAAAAUCACCAUAAAUCGUAGAAAAAUCAUAUGGAGAUGUACACAUAGUCCUUUUAAAGGUAUAAACCUAAACUAUUUGCAUCUAAUACAGUUUUGAAAACUAAAAUGUUUAAGUUGACCAAAACAACCCGUGAAUGGAGUUAAACUUUCUUGAUGAAAGCUGUUGGAAAAGUUUAGUUGUAUUCUUGGUGUUUUAACUUGUAUUCUCCCCCUUAAAACUUAAGAAAACAUGAAAAGAUAGGGGUAUGAACUCACCUUGUGUGAUUUUAGUGGGUGAAUGUUGAAGAAGAGAAGUUUUCAACUCAAGAACACUUGGAGGAUUGCUUGAAGAUUCGAGAAUCUAACACUAAUGCGAUGGAAUUUGUGUAAGCAAUCUAUGAUUUUGAGUAGGAGGAUGCGUAAUAAUCAUAAGAGAGAUGAUGAUACUUACGAGAUGUAGAAGAAAAGCUUGGAAACAAGCCUUGAAUCUCGAAAUGUAGAGAGAGGGAGUGAGAGAGAAUGAAGUUGUCACUUGGUGAAACGUGAGAGAAAUGUGAGGAAAGAGGAGGGUUUUCUAGCUCUUGACCAAGUGUGUGGCUGCAAAAUGGUAGGAAAAGUACUAUGAAAUGACUACGUAUGGUAUAAUAGUGACUGGGGGUUGUACUAUGAAGGUAUGGUGAGGUUGCUUGUGUCAUUGUCCAAAGGAUAAGUCAACAAUCCACCUAGAUAUCUCACCAAAUAGAUUUUAUUUUUAGGCAAUGAUUUUCCCCAAAAUAUAGUUAAAAUAUGAAUAUUUAGGGUUUAUUAUGUUAAAAUACGAGUUUGGGUGAAAAUCCCGCGUUAAAAUCUCGAAAAACGGGCUUAAAACGAAGUUUGGGUAAAAAACCGGCAAUCUGGACCGAACCUGCGAGGUUCGGCUCUAAGGGAGUUAGAACCGAAGGUGGAGAAGGAAGGAACCGAGAGAAGGGAAAAGGGACCGAAGGUGCGAGGGGGAGGGACCGAAGGUCCGAGGUUUGGUUCGGUCUGCUGAGCCUCAGUCCGAGAUGGUGUAUUUCGCUACUAAUGCCUUCGCUUCUGACACCUUCGCUUCCUAAGGGGGUUCGGCUCCUUAAGAGGGGUUUCGGGUCCUUAAGUCUAUUUUAUCUGUUUUCAUCCCGUUCUAAGUGGUUUUUGACCUGGUUAAGGGUCGGGAUGGCCCGAAAGACUAUGAAAAGUUUAAGGAACUUUUGAGAGAGAUUUGGGAGAGAUUUCACAUACUUAGAGAGAUUUAGGAGAGAUUUGACAUACGUGGAGAGAUUUCUCAUACUUAAAGGGAUUUGGGAGAGAUUUCACAUACUUGGAGAGAUUUGGGAGAGAUUUCACAUACUUGGAGAGAUUUGGGAGAGAUUUCACAUACUUGGAGAGAUAUGUGAGAGAUUUCACAUACUUGGAGAGAUUUCUCAUACUUAGAGAGAUUUCUCAUACUUAGAGAGAUUUGGGAGAGAUUUCACAUACUUGGAGAGAUUUGGGAGAGAUUUCACAUACUUGGAGAGAUUUAGGAGAGAUUUCACAUACUUGGAGAGAUUUGGGAGAGAUUUUGUGACAACCCGAUAUUUCAACUACAUGUAAACGACCUAAAAAGUCAAGUAUUGUAACCACGUUAGUUGUAAUAAAAUUAACUUCGAAAAUAAAAUAUCCAAAAAUCACUAAUUAAGUUACCUAUUAUGUUAGAUGUCAUUAAACCGUGAUCGUACGUAGAAAGAACGCCCAAAUCCGACUUCGUAUAAGAAAAUUAGGAAUUUUUCAAGUUCGGCUUAACGGCAGACGACUAAAAACUCAAAUCAGAGAUCGAGCGACUUUUGACCGGAAUGACCUAAACGAGAAUUGAAGGUCUCAACAAUGGUAUUUCAGCGGUAAAAAGUCUGGCAAAAACCGACGUCAUAUAAAGAAGUUAUGAAUUUCUAAAGAAAUUUUCUUAACACGACCUUUUAAAAAUAAAUAAUAAAAAUAAUUUCGGAAUUUGCCGAUGGGAUCUAAACAAAAGUUAUAGAGUAUGGUCUCACCUUCGCGUGGAUAUAAAGAACGUCAAAAACGGAGUUCGUAUGAAGAAGAUAUGAAUUUUUGAAGUUUAUUAAAUAAUUAAUAUAUAAAUUUAAUUAAAAACCCUUGGUAUUAUCCGAAGGGGAGUCACCAGAUAGGGCCGAGUUACACCCAGCGUAUGCGAGGCCUUGGCCUCGGUUCAUCCACAUCGCCCCUAUGCGAGCCUACCCGUCCCGUCCCAUCCGAAGCCGAGGCAGUCGAGGACUCGGUCACGCAUGACGCACGAGUACGCCCCGCGUACCGAGGCCUCUCAGCCCCCUAUAAAAGGGAUGCGAGGGUUCCGGGAAAAUCACACCAUUUCUCUUACAUUCUUGCCUCGUUUUCUGUGCCCGUGCUACCCCAAAGCCCCGAUCACUUUGCUCGAGUCCCAAAGGUCGUUUGUGCUCCCGAGAUUCCCAAGAAUCCCGAGGAAAUCCACUUUCUCGAGCCGAAAUUCUGUCCGGUUUUCAUCCCGCAACCUCCGAUCUUACAAGUGAGUUCAUACCCCUAUAAUUCACACUUUUAAAUGUUUUGUGAGUACUUUUACAUGCUUUUAAGGGGGAGGGGGGGAAUACAAGUAAAACACUCGAUUAUUAUCGUGUGUUAUAGAAACUUUCACUAUACGCGUUUUAUCAAAGGAAUCAUAUGUGAUUUAAAACUAUUAUAAGGAAACUUUCAUAUGCAAAUUAUACCACGACAACAUUUUAUCUUUUGAAAUGAGAAACGAUUUAUGUAUUUAUAUAAAUCAUAUACUUGGCUUAUACUACAAUUCUGUGUGUCGGUUUUGGCACUACAAAAACUACACUUUUCAUAACAAGUGAACAUUUUCACUAAGGGUUUAUUAUACAAACGAAACACACUCUUAGGAAACUAUAAUAGGUAUAGUUUUACGAGAAUACUACGAAUUUUUACAUACAUGGAAAUACUAUUUCAAGAAGCUACUUUCAUAUACAAUAACGAACGAACGUUUUCACACGUAAAUCUGUUUUAUACUAAGUUUUGUGAGACAUUAACUUCACGUACGUUUGAGUACACAUUUCAAGUCCUGUAUUAUAUACCAUAAUCCCUUGGAGGGGGAGCAUGGUGUUUGUGUGUAGAUCUAUAUGGGCUUGACAACCCGCGCCCUGACAGUUAGCUACAGUCCACCAUUUGUGGUGACAAACGUCAGAACAUUCCAACGCCUGAAGAACAAUGUGUAUAGGCUUUCCUUGUCAAUAGUAUGGUUAUAAAACUCACAUAGAGUAUUAAAAACACAAUGAUUUACAGGGUUUUUCAGACGUAUUGGAAAUUUUAUACGUUCAUACAUUUACUAGAAACAAACAUAGGUCUUGAAAGAAGGCUACAUUUAUACUAGUAGAAAGUAUAGGAUUUUCUAGGAACAAACAAACAAGAACAAAAACAUUUCAUUUCAUACAAACAUUGUCAUUAAAUACUUAUGAAACUCACCAACUUAAAUGCUAAUCUACUCUUUCAAAACUACUUGUAUGUCCCAGGGAUUCAGUAAUUACAGGUAACAAACAUGUUUUGGAGAAGGGACGCUGCAGCGCCAGUUUAAUUUCAUAUUUUGACAUCAUAUUGUAAUUGAUUUUGAACAUGUACUCUUUUAAACAAUGUAAACUUUCAAUUAUAUAUAUGAUGGUUGUAUUGCUUUCUUUACUAUGUAUUCAUUUGUUACGUUACCACAUGAAGUCAUCCGCCCCCGAACGUUUCCGCCGUUCCGGUUUGGGGGUGUGACAGAUUUGGGGUAGCGAGAGAUACAACGAAAGAGAUUAGGAGAGGCUUCUUUUGUGACCUUUUUGAGUGCUUAGCUCCGCAACGCAAGGUCUGUAAGCCCCGUUAAGCCAUGUUUAAGGAUCUUACACACUCCCAAUGAGUAUGCAACAUUGUUUUAUCGGUUUGGUUCGUUACUUACCACAAUUUUAGGUUAAGGAAAUCUAGAUGUACGAACUUUUCAAUUUAUGAUUUCUCAUUAGAAUAGCGCGUUGUAUAGUAAUUACCUAACGUAAGCCCUAGCACACAAGGGUUAGUUGGGUUGACCGGUUUGACUUGUUGACUUUAUUUGACUUUGAUUUCACCAGAAUUUGAAGGUUGUCACAUUUUUGGCUAGAAAUUUGUAAAAGUCUCAGACUUAUUGGAGAGAUUCCCCCUCUCGAAAGUGGGAUCAUUAUCUAUCAAUCUUAUUUCAAUCUUGUGAAAUUCUUGUAGUUGUGUUUAUUCAUUUUGGUUACUAGCCGGGGCUUAUCAAGAUUGCACAUGAAUGUGGUAUAGAGUGGGAUUACAAGGCUUUUGAACAGAAAUUGGAAAAAAAAAACUCCAUUUGAACAGGUAAUCCAUCUUCUCAUUCUCUUUCAACUGUUAGCAUCUCUAAAUAUUAUUAAAAGACAAACUUAAAUUCUAAUCUUAAGAGAUUGAAUAUUUUACCCAUUUAAUUUUCUUCUUACCACAGGUAGUUGUUAAUGUCAAAGACUAAAACAGAUGCAUUAAUUUUAUAUUUUAUCUUUCUAAUCAACAUAUUAAAUAUUCAUCGUACAUCAUACAUCAUACAAUGCAUAUAUUUAAUUAUAUAAUGAUGAUGACCCUGUUUUGCUUCAAUUAUCUAUAUUCAUAUUGAAUAAUAUAUUGAUUCAAGUUAUUAUAUUUACGAUCAAUGGUGACUUAAAUUUAGCAGUAGACCAACAAAAUAUCAACUUUUUUUUUAAUUAAUUAAAAUUGGCUUAUUUAAGUUUUUAACUGUCAUGAGGAUUCAUUAAUAAAUUUAUAUAUACUCUUCUUCUCAUAGACAUUGCAGGUUAUGCAUAUUUGAUAUUUGAUCUAAGCUUAUAAAAUUUUUGAAUUCUGAAAAAAAUAAUUAUAUUUUUAGGUGUUAUAUGGAGGAAAAGAAGGAUGAAGAAGAAAACACAUUGAAUGAAGGUGAAACUGAGAUUGCUAUAGGACAUGUAAGAAGGUUGAUUCAAAGUGGUGUACGUGCUUCUGAUAUUGGAGUUAUUUAAAAGUGAUGUUAGGCUUAUCAGCACAGGUAAAGUAGAAUUUCGUUUUGGUGUAAUGGAAUUAAGGAAUGGAAAGAAAUCGUUGAUUUCAUUGUAAUAGAAAUAAUUUUGUAGGUUGUGUUGCUAAGAGUGUGGAGAACAUAGGAUGACAAGUUAAAAGAAUUGGAAAUCUCAACUAUGGAUGGCUUCCAAGGGAGGGAAAAAGAAGUGAUUAUUAUUAUUUCAAUGGUUAGAUUAAAUUCAAAGAAAGAUGUAUUUAUUAUUAUUAUUAUUAUUAUUAUUAUUAUUAUUAUUAUUAUUAUUAUUUUAUUGUUGUGUUGUUUUAUAAUUAANNNNNNAAAUUCAAUGAAAAUGUUGACAUUGGUUUUAAAAUUGAAUUAACUCAUCUGUUUUUGCAAACAGACCAAAAUACCCUCAUCAUCUAUUUUUAAAUAAAAAAAUUUCAAACGUAAUUUUUUUGAUAGUUUUUGCUAGGUUCAAAUUUCAAUUAUUUUGGCAGAUCCAAUUCCUUAAAAAACAUUCUAUAAACCAAAUGUUACAUGAUAGUUUAUCAAUAAAAAUUAGAGAAAUUAAAAUUUCUCAUACUUUGUCUUCCUACGUAUAUUCCUACCACUUUUAGAUGAUGACAAUUGUAGUAAAAGUUUAUUAAUUUUAUUAAAUUUUUAUUAAUUUGUUUUAUAUUUUUAUAUUUAUUGAAAUCUUAUAUGUUUAUUAUAUUUUCUCUUAUCCAACUUUUUUUCAAAUUUAUUGAUAUCUUAUAUGGUAGUUAUUAGCUUAAAUUAGGUAUGAUUUUAUCUAUUUUUGUAAUUAUGUUUAAAAAAAACACAUUAAACUUCCUUUUGUUCAGAAAUCUUGAAGUUAAUUUAUGUUUUUUUUUCCAGGAAAAUAAGGUAAAGUGGAGAUAGAGGUACCACAGACGGAGGUGCUUCGGGUGGCAGCAUCAACCUCAAGGCUUAUGACUAGAAGUGGUAACAAAAGUUAAUUUGUGUUUCUUUUUAUUAUUUUUUUUUAUUGAAAAAUGGCUUAUUUUAACACCUAAUGACUAAACUGCUCCUGUUUUUAUUGAAAAAAAGAUACUAAUUUAACAGCCAAAGUGUUACUAAUUGUGACUAAUUUUAAUAGUAAAUAAAAUACAUAUUUUUUGGUUAUACAACUCAUGCUUUUAAUUAAUAUUGACUAAUUUUGAAUGCAAUGUUUUUUGUUCAUAUUUCAUUCGAACCAUACUUUAAAGAAUGUUGCUAUUUCUUGAUGCAUCCCUUUACAUCAAAUUGCCACAACGACGAUUUUAUCAAGUAAAUUGCUAUUUCUUGAUGCAUGCAUUCAUUUUUUUUACACCAAUUACAAGAAUCUACCUUCAUAACCUGUUAUAAAGCAACCAUUUUUAUCAAAAAAAAAAAAAAACAUUUUUAUGUAUUUUUUUGCCCAUUAACCAUUUUCCCAUGACAUUGAAUCUUAUUUAGAAAUAUAUAUUUUUUUAUGCUUGUGGACCAUUUUGCCCCUAUAUUAUUGCUUAAUGAUGUUGCCUUGAAUAUGUAUAAUCAUUUCAGAUAAAACUUGCCCAAAUCUAAUUUAAUAACCUGUUAUCAAAGCAACCAUUUUUAUCAAAAGAAGAAGCAUUUUUAUGUAUUGUUUUCCCGUUAACCAUUUUGCCCCGAUAUUGUUGAAUAUUAAUAAGAAAUAUACACAUUUGAAGCUUAUGGACCUACUUUCCCAUGUAUUAUUUAUUACUCAAUGAAGCUGCCUUGAGUAUGUAUAAUCAUUUCAGAUAAAACUUGCCCAAAUAAUAAUAAAAAAUUGUAUCUUUAUUCUAUCUUAUAAGCAAGGAAUUGAUCUACUAGCAGGAGUGGAAGCCAUUAUAAACCAUUUAGUGGUGAAGAAUUUUAGGAUCCCAUGUGUACAUGCUCCUGUGCCCUAUUACCUUCUUCACUCACCAAGUCUAUAUGUCUAAAAUAUGUUGCUGAAUAAUUGAGUUAAUACUUACAUAUACACAUUCAUAUAAUAAUUAGGUUUUGGUAUGAUUUUUGAAACAAUUGGGAUAUACGUUCUUUCCAUGUGUUGAAUGAUUUUGGAAAAUUUUGAGCUUGAGUUAGAGCAGAACGAUUUACAAGGAGAAGCCAUGAAAGUUGAAGAUGGCGAUCAAUCUAGACAACCAUAUGCAUUUGUGCCCUAAAUCGUUUUAUUAGGGUGGACUAUUUCUCAUUUAUUGUUGACUAGAUAUACCAGCUCAUCAAUUAAAUAUGCUAACUCAUCCAUUCACCUGAAUCAUCAGGUUACCACAAGGUGAGAUUUGAACAAAAGGUAUAAUUUGUUGGUGUUUUUGUACAAAACCCUUAGUUGGAUGGUAUUUUUUAAUAGACAAAACUUUAAUGAUGUUUUUCAACGUUUUUGAAACAUUCUUACCCUUAUAAGUCAUUUUCCCAUUUUGUAUUGUGGAAUAUGUUUCUCUUUUCUUACCAGGUAAAAGGUAACAAGGAUGUAGUUGAUAGUUUUAGUUUCUUGAUUAUUGGAUUUGUAUGUAUCUAUUAAACAGGCAUGCAUAUUUUUUAUUUUAGUUUUUGAUAUGGUGUUUUCCUGGUUGUGUGUAUGGUAUAUAUAUCUCAUGUGUGUAUAUAUGUCUCAUGUGUCUAUUUGUGUGGUGUGUGUAUAUGUCAGUGAGUCUGUUUGUGUAUGUGUAUGUUUUUAAAUACAAUAUUGGUUAAAUUCAAGAAAUAGUAAACGAACGCAAUAGAUUUCUUAUAAACAUAGCACUUAAGUUGAAGUUCAAAUUAUUAUAAUAUCUUAAAUGUUGUUAUUAUUGUAUUAUCCAAAUGUUACCAUGGUGACUUGUUUCUAAUAAAGACAAUCUUUUUUUGUUAAGGCAUUUUUAUCUUAUGCUAUUUGAAAUUGGUCUUUUUAAAUUAUUUUAUGUUAUUUUGAUGUAUAGUAUUAUAUCAUUUGGAAAACAUCUAAAAUGUAGUCAUAUUUUGGAUGUCUUGAAAAUGGAAAAAAAAGUAUUUCCUUUUAUAUAGGAGAAAAUCUAUGUUUUAAUUUAGUAAAUGAGGAAGGAUAUAAUUUAUAAUCAAUGACUUUUACAAUACAUAUACGGUUUGUAUAUGAAUGAAAUGAACGUAUCAUUGAAUUUUGUUUAUAAAAUGGAACAUAUUUCUAUAACAUAAUUAUAAAUUUUUAAUAUAAGUGAAUAAAACACAAUGACUACCAAUUAAAAAACAUUAACACGACUUGCAAUUAAUAUUUAUCAUGAACUAUUUAUCAUGUGGUUUAUAAAAACCAUUUGGGUAGAAAUUAUUCAUAGGAAUGAAACUAAUCACACCCGCUGCUAAAAACAAACUAUUCGUACAAGACUUUACCAGUUUGGUGUUAUUUAAAUUAUUUGAUCGUGACGCAAAGAUAGUUCUUGAAAAAACUGCACAAGAGCUGCUUCAAAAUUUUAAUGAGGUUAUUGAUAUUAACUUCAUUUACAUAAAACUAAUUUUCACUUUUUUUUCUAUCUAUUUUUAUAACCGUUCAACAUCGAUUUGUUUGACAAGUAAUUUGUUUUUAUUUUGAAGUUUAUGCUUUUUUUCAUUGGUUUCCUAUAAUUUUUUUGAUUUCUUUAUUUUUUUAUGUGUUUAUAAUCUAGUUUUUUAUUAAAAGAAAAAAAGAAAAAGAGAAGUGGCCUAUAGUUCUUCAAUGUAGCUUUGUCGGGUACCAGUUCUUGAGGGAUCGGUCAAAACUAUUGCUCCAGAAACGCAGAAACGUCACAGAUACAACGCCAAUAAUGUCAACAUAAUCAGAGAUUUAAAAACCAACGGUAAUCAUCUCUUUGAAAUCGCACAUCCAACCAGGCGUGAGAAUUCGCGUCUUAGGAAAAUAAACAAAUAAAAUCCACAAUUUACUGUUAUCAUGGAUUCCAAUCUACCCUAAUAAAUAAAAAUGAUUUUGCCACAUGUCGUAUUCUCUUUCAUUUUGACACUUGUCAUUUUCUAAAAUUUUUAAAUUUUCUAUUUUCCACUUGUCAUUUUAUUGUAUUUUUUAUUUUAUUAAAUUAAAAUUCCACAUUUAAUGUGUAAGGUAAAAUAUAUGUAAAGUAUUUAUUAAAAAAAAGUUUAUAUAUAUAAUAUAUUCAAUACAUUAAAGUCUCAUUAAUUUUAAUAAUUCAAAAUUUUCUUAUUUUUUUUAUAAAUUCAAACAUUUCAAAUUGUUAAAAUUUUAUAUUUAUUUUUUUUAAUUAAACCCAUUGAUAUACAUGGGUUUCACAACUAGUAGUUGUAAUUUUAUCAAAAUAAUUAAAUCGCCUCAUUCUUAAGAACACUAAAAUGGUAAAUAUGGUAAAUAUUUUUCACAACUGUUAUGCCUUAAAUUGUUCAGACAAGUAAAUUUACAGUUCCUUGACUAAACAAGUGGUUUAGCUUUCUCCACCGAAUUUCAAAAUUUUUCCAGCCACACCCAUCAUCAUCUCACAUUAUCUUUUUUAUCUUCUUAAUCUGCACUCUGAUGAUGAUCAUCCCGAUUUCUUCGUAAUCGUUUCUCAUAAACUUUUGCCCAACAAAGAUUUGAUUUUAUAAGAUCGAUCGAUCCUUCAUUUCAAUGGCGUCUUCUUUAACUUCAUCCGUUCACAAGAGCUUUAAGUAUGAUGUAUUUUUGAGUUUCAGGGGCGAAGAUACUCGUACAAACUUCGUUGAUCAUCUUUAUCAUGCUCUCCAGCAGAAAAGCAUUCAUACUUACAAGGACGAUGAGAAAAUCAAAAAAGGUAAAAAGAUCAGUGAUGAACUCAUCGGAUCGAUUGAAGAUUCAAAAUUUUACAUCAUUGUUUUCUCCAAGAACUAUGCUUCUUCAUCUUGGUGCUUGGAUGAGCUAGUGAAGAUAAUGGAGUGCCACAGGACGACAACUGAGCACACUGCUUACCCUGUCUUCUAUGAUGUGGAACCCUCAGAAGUCAGAAAACAAAGUGGGGCAGUUGGAGAAGCAUUUGCCAAGUACGAAAUGGAAGAGGCUGCUGAGACAUGGAAGGUGGCUCUGAAAGAAGCAGCGGAUCUCUCUGGAUGGGAGUUGAAGAAGACUGCUGAUGGGUAAUUAAUUCUUUGAUCAUUCCCUGCAGUAUUAUUGUUUGAAUCUUUUUGAUUUAGCAUAUAACCUGGAUAUAAAAUCUCGUACAUGGCAUUUUAAAUUGUCAAAUUUUAAUUCAAGUUUUAAGUCUUGUCCAAAGAAUAACCAUGGAAUAUGAUUAUGUAACUAUGUUAUUUUUCAUGUGGGGCUGUAUGUUAUAGAUCUGAAAGUGACCCGUCACAUGGGAUUUUGAGUAAGCUAAUCGAAUCUUUUUUAAAAUACAGGCAUGAAGCUAAAGUUAUCCAAAGAAUAGUUGAAGAGAUUUCACUAGAGUUACGUACAAUCAGUCUCAACAUUGAUAGAAAGUUGGUAGGAAUGGAGACCCGGAUCAAAAAUCUUGUACCAUCUAUAGGAAUUGGUUGUGAUGAUGUCCGCAUGAUCGGGAUCAAGGGGAUGGGAGGUGCUGGAAAGACAACUUUAGCAAGAGCUGUUUUUGAUGACAUAUCCUAUCAGUUCGAAGGUAAAAGCUUCGCAGAAAAUGUCAGGGAAAAUGCUUCUUUGUUGGGUUUAAAGUCGUUGCAAAAGCAAAUCCUUUCAGAUGUCUUAAAUGAUAAAGAUAUCAAUGUAAGUAGUGUUUAUGACGGGAAAGACAUGAUGAAGAGGAGACUGCCUCACACAAAGGUUCUUGUUGUUCUAGAUGAUGUGGAUCACAUAGACCAACUAGAGGCUUUAGCAGGUGAGCCUAACUGGUUUAAGCCUGGGAGUAGAAUUAUCAUUACAACAAGAGAUAAGCAAGUGCUCAUAGCACAUGGAGUGAAGUUCAUUCAUGAUGUCAAUCUGCUAUACAAUAAGGAAGCAAUUUGCCUCUUUAGUAGGCAUGCGUUUGGGAGAGAUAUUCCAGUUCAAGGGUAUGAAGAGCUAUCAAAAAAAGUUGUACGUUACGCGGCUGGUCUUCCCUUGACAAUUAGGGUUUUGGGUUCAUUUCUUUGUGGAAAAGAUGAGCUUGAAUGGAUAGAUGCCCUAGAAAGACUAAAAACGAUUCCGGAAACAGAAACUUUGAAAAAAUUGGAGUUAAGCUACAUAUCUCUAGAGGAGGAUUACAAGGAAAUAUUCCUAGAUGUUGCAUGCAUCAUGAAAGGUUGGCAGAAAGAUAAAGCAAUCAAAGCGCUUGAAAGCUGUGGAUUUCGUGCUAGAAAUGGCUUAAAAGUUCUUCAGCAAAAAUCUCUUAUAACUAUUUAUAAGAACUUUUAUGAUCACAUAGGCAUGCAUGACCAUAUUGUAGAAAUGGGCAGGAAUAUUGUUCGUCGCGGGCACCCCGAUAAGCCUCAGAGACAUAGCCGAUUGUGGAUUGAAGAUGAAAUUGAAGAGAUAUUGGCUAAUGAUUUGGUAAGGAUCAAGUUUGCUUGUAUGUUGGGAAAAGCUAACACAUUUAUAGUUAUUAUAACACAAGUUUCUUGGUGACUUCUUUUGGAUUGCAGGGUACUGAAGCAACAAGAUGUAUACAAUUCCACACUAUCAGAUUUAAUCCACAUAUUUUUAUAAAAGGUUUGAGAAAGAUGAAGGAGCUUAGAUUUCUUUCUAUUCGCGGAUAUUGUUCCAGUGAUUUGGAGUUUAGUACAGUUGUUCCAGACUUCCCAAAUGCUUUACGAUGUUUAGAUUGGACCAAUUACCCUUUUAGGUCUUUACGCACAACAUUUCAAGCAAAUAAUCUUGUUGCACUUAAGGUGGAUGGCAGCAGAAUUGUACAACUUUGGGAAGGAGGAGAAAGAAAGGUAAAGUUAUGGUUGAUUGAUUAUUUUGCAUGAUUCAUUAUAGUGUUAUACUUACAUUAUUUUUGUUAUUACACCAAUAUUCAUUUUACUUUUUGCUUAUUUAGGCUCUCAACAAGCUCAGAUUCCUUGACCUCAGUAGUUCAUUGUUGAGUACGCUUGACAUUGGGCUGGCUCCAAAUCUUGAAGAGUUGAUUCUUUAUGAAUGCAAAUAUUUGGAAAAACUUCACUUGCCUGAAAGAUGUCUAAAUCUAAAACGCUUACUACUCACUAAUUCAAAAUUGAGGACCCUUGAGAUUGGGCUGACUCCGAAUCUCGAGGAGUUAUAUCUUGAAAGGUCUUGUUGUCUGGAAGAACUUCACAUGGUCAACGAAUGUCAAAAGCUAGCCGAACUCCAAAUUAGUCAUUCAAACUUGAGGACCUUUGACCUUGGGGUGACUCCAAAUCUCAAAAAGUUAGAUCUCAAAGAGUGUCGUAAAUUGGUAGAACUUCACACUCCCAUUGGAGGUCUAAAACAGCUUGUCCAUGUAAACUUAAGUGGUUGUUUGAGGUUUAGCUCUUUUCUGUUUCAGAUAAACUAUCAUACUGCUUGUAGUGUGGAUGAAUCACUUGAGGUUGGUCCUUUAGCCAAGUUGCAUCUGAUUGUAGAGUCUAUAGAAAGAUGCCAACUUCACCCUGACAGUAACUUGCCAAAGUUUCAGUUUAGAUGUUUUUAUACAGAAGAUCGACCCUCAUUGACGAGAAAUCUUGAGAUGCUUUUUUCUGUAGGUAUGUGUGCUUGCACAAACCUCGAGACGUUUUCACGAAGCAUUUAUGGGUUACAACGUUUAAGAGAGCUUGAACUCAAAGGCAUUUUUCUAGAGGCGAUCAUGGACAUCGAGCAGUUAGAAUCUCUCGAGGAGCUAAUAUUGUUGUCUACAAAGAUUAAACAUCUUCCGGAUAGCCUUUGCAUGUUGAAACACCUGAAAUAUCUCAAACUUUAUGAUUGUUCGCUGCUUGAGAAGUUACCAGAGGAUCUUGGCCAAUUAGAAUGUUUAAAGAAGCUACGUUUGACAGAUGUAAAGAUUAUUAAACAUCUUCC